Molecule: long non-coding RNA, 53601 nt
Filed under: Arabidopsis lyrata
Lineage: Eukaryota; Viridiplantae; Streptophyta; Magnoliopsida; Brassicales; Brassicaceae
Description: long non-coding RNA (ALYR_LNC003409)
Source: RNAcentral
AGAUAGUUAGGUGCUAUUUGGGGCUGUGUUUUUUUUUUUUUUUUUCCUUUAGUAGCUUAUAGGCUGUCUUCGUUUGACUUUAAAAGUUUCUCUGAUUUUAAAAUGUAAUAAUACAUAACUAGUGAAAUAUAUGUUUACAAAAACAAAUAGGUUUUAAUACAACAUGUAAUAACAAAAUUAGCAUCUAAAGCUUUGGUUUGAUUUGAUUAAUUUAAAUUUUGUCAUGUAUCAAAUUUUAGUGAAAUACUUGCAAUUUUUUUAAUAAGAUGUAGUCUGAAACAAAAUGUGUUUCCACAUGUACAUUAUGUGUUGUAAUGGGUUGCAAGUCAUCAUGUUCCCGUAUUUUAUCUAUUCUAAAGUUUGAGAAAAAUUAUGAAUUUCUGUAUAUUUAAAGAUUUGUAUCAUAAAUAACGCUAUCCAGAACUAGUCCAAUAUACUUGCACACAUGAAAAUCUACUACAAGUCUUCCUCCUCGAACUCCUAACUAGUCCAAGUUUUAUUUCUGUAUAUUUAAAGAUUUGUAUCAUAAAUAACGCUUUCCACGAUCAAAAUAACAAUAAUAGAAGGCCACAUUUUAGGUAAAUUUAGGGUUAUGUAUUUAGUGUAAUACUGUAAUAUAUUAUAUUACAUGUUUGGUCUGUUUGUUUGAGAAAUGCAUGAUAUUAUAAUUCUUAUCGUUAGCAUACAAGUUGAAUGGUUUGGUUAUUACAUUUGUAAUGAUGGAGUUUGUUAGAAAUCAAUUAUCUGUCUUUGGUGAACGAUUAUAUAGGAAAACCAAUAAUGUAUGUUUCUUAGAAUUUCUAUAUUAUAUGUUUUCAUUAUCACUAAUUUAGAAACAAUAUUAUGAUAUUUUUUAUUAUUUUAUUUUUUUUUGUCUUAAAAUGGGUACAUGUAAUUUGUUUUGCUGUAGCUAGCAUUUCUUAGGCACGAUACUAACCAAUAUGAUCUGUACUCACUAAAGAAGUUUUUUAUAUGGUCAAGAGUACGUCUUUAAUUUGUGGACGAGGUAGGAGUUUGAGGAGGAAGACUUGUAGUAGAUUUUCAUGUGUGCAAGUAUGACUUCCGCUGUAAUUUUUAUAAGAUUUGUUUUGUUAUGAGCAAUUCUUUUAAAAUACUAUUGAUUUAUUUAUUGAUAAGAUAGUCUCAUGAGUUUCUAAUUGAUGGAGAUGCACUAAGGUUAAGCAUAGAGAUGUUUUUGUAACUUGUAUUUUACAUACAUGUAUAAAUCUAUUUUAUUAAUAGAAAUGUAUCUAGAUGAUGUUAGGCUGACAACCUAUAAUGGUGAUAAACGCCUAUGAACUACAAUCAAUUAGUGAUCUGAUAUACUGCAUGUUGAUUCUAAAAAUCACACGAUGAAUUAGUUUAAAGGAAAAAAACAAAUUCAAUUAACUCUCUUGCUAUUUCUGAUCAAAGAUUCAAAAGAAAAAUGAAUUUUAUUGUUUAUAGACAAAGUUAGGGUUUUGCUCAAAAACAAUUAGGGUUUUUGCAUAAAGUUGCGGAUGCAUGCCUUUCAAUAGAGGACAAACUCUUCUAUUUAUACAUAAUUAAGGCGGUUAAAGAUAAGUUAAACUUCCGAAUCUUCGGGGCUUUAUCUUCUGUUUUUCCUUUCUUUUCGCGAUUCUCCUUUUUCUUUAAGGAAAAUCUUCCUUUUUCUUGGACGAGAAGUCGGUUUAGGCGAUCUCAUGUUUUCAGGUCGAGCUCGCCAGGCGACCUCCUCUCUCUGGCCCAUUAACAAGCCUAACCGGGAUUCCCUGGUUUAACUGAAUUCUCAGAUUAGUUCGCAAUUCGUCCGGUUUAAGUCGGUAUUGUCGGAGGUGCUAAUUCCAGCAAACCUAGUUUAUAAAGGAGUUCGGAUCUGCGAUCAUCGUGAAAAGACAGCAGGUCAUGGUAUUUUUUAUGUCUGCUUUCAACGCACGAGAGAAAGCCUUCCGCCUCACGUCUAUCGUCUAGGUUUAACUGAAACAGGAAAGUCCACAGAACGCGAACGUUGUUAAAGAAGGUCAUGCCCCUUUCGAUCGCUUCGGCGUUAGAAAAGGUUGGAACGUCGUGGUUAACCGCGGAAUAAGAACCGGAGCUUUCCAUACUUUGAGAAGGAAAGAAGUUCUUUGGAUUUUUUCGAUGGUGUUGGCACCACCCGGAGGAGAUAUUUAUACCAACAAUUAAGAGUCGGUCUAAUUGGAUUUCCGAAUGAAAAAAGGAAAACAUCUUGUUUUCCUUUUUCGAAAAGGAAAUGACUAAUACUAGUUUUUUUCUUUUUACUUCGAACGAGGAAAAAGAAACUUGCAUAAAUAAGGGAAAAAUAUCCAGAAGGAAAUUAAAAACCGCCCCAAAAAAAUGGGUCCACGGUUGAAUCAGGUUCGAAAAAAUUACAAGGCGAACAGACAAGAAAGAAUAAAAACAAUGAGAUAGGAGAGGUGGAGGCCGCUAGGCUUCAGGAUCCUGCUCGUCAACGGUGACAUGGCGAAUGUCACUCUGGGUCACGAGCUCGAAGUUCAACAUACGGCGCCAAUUGUUGAUUCUAAAAAUCACACAAUAAAUUUUUUAAAGGAGCAAAAUAAAUUCAAUUAACUCUCUUGCUAUUUCUGAUCAAAGACUCAAAAGAAAGAUGAAUUUUAUUGCUUAGAGACAAAGUUAGGGUUUUUGCAUAAAGUUGCGGAUGCCUUUCAAUAGAGGACAAACCCCUCUAAUUAUACAUAAUUAAGGCGGUUAAAGAUAAGUUAAACUUCCGAAUCUUCGGGGUCUUAUCUUCUGCUUUUCCUUUCUUUUCGCGAUUCUCCUUUUUCUUUAAGGAAAAUCUUCCAUUUUCUUGGACGAGAAGUCGGUUUAGGCGAUAUCAUGUUUUCAGGUCGAGCUCGCCAGGCGACCUCCUUUCUCUGGCCCAUUAACAGGCCUAACCGGGAUUCCCUGGUUUAACUGAAUUCUCAGAUUAGUUCACAAUUCGUCCGGUUUAAGUCGGUAUUGUCGGAGGUGCUAAUUCCUGCACCAACACUGCAAAAUCAUUGACGAGUAUAAGCAUGAACAAGCCACAUUAAAUGUAAUUGUACAUGAGUCAUUUAUCACACGUCGAACCUACACGGAUCUCAAAUGUCAUUGCACCCGUGUUUGUGCAUUGGUACCGCCUUAUCAUUGUUGCCCUUCCUAUUCUUUGAGUUUUUUUUUGUGAAAGGGAAUUUGUCUCUUCCAUACUCCAAUAUUACAUAUGAAGCCUUUCCAAACGUCAUCGUUUAAACCCUUUGGCAGCUUCUUCCCUUCUAUUCACUUUUGCUUCCACUCGUUCAAAUUGUCUAUUUAUACGAGGUUGUCGCUUGGCUCAAGAGUCAAGAACUCGGCAAAUACGAGAUUCGAAUGUUGCGACUUCCAAUUGAAAUCUUUUUAUGGAAUAAAAUAAAAAAUAAUCAUAGACAUGUCUUUCUUUUUUUUUUUGUGAAACAUAUCAUAGACAUGUCUAAUUAAAAGGAAUUUCAUGUCUACUUGCCGAAAAGGAUUUGAACCAUGUCUCUUUUACAUCAUUCGGAAUGUGUGACAAUUUGGGAUAUGGAUGCUCGAGUUGUGAUUGUAAAUUUUUUUAAAUAGACUUGGUGAUGCCAUUUGUUUUGUCUAAACCUACAAUUUGGAAAUAACAUACAUAUUAGUAAAAUAAUAUUAAAAUUGUUAAUAUAAAAAAUUAUUAAAAAAGUAAUUGGAAACAGAAACAAUUACCAAGUCGCUCCAACUUCUUCAUGAGGACGGAGCUAUGUGAUAAGCUCUCAGCUGGGUUGUUGCACAAGCUCUUUUAGAGAAUAAGAUAAAUUGUUGAAAGAUGAUUUUUAAUUGAUCAUAAGUGGUUUUUAUAUAGGCCAAGUCGCGGAGCCAGUAUUUUUAUUUACAGGGGUCAUGUCUAUUUAAUUAUUUUAAUUACUAGGAUAUGAACCCCGCGAUAUCGCGGGAAACUCAUUUUCAACAAAUAUAUUUUAUUAUGUUUAUGUAUUAAAAUAUUUUAUAAUAUAUUCAAAUAAUUGAAUUAUUAUAUAAAAUUAACUGUCUUAAAGUUAUAUCAUAAAUAUUUUCUAAAUAUAUUAAAAAAAAUUUAUGAAUAAAAAUGUAAAAAACAAAAUUAUGAUUAAAAACACUUUUGAAACAUUUUUUGUGAAUAUAAAAUUAUUUAUAAGUGACAAAAUAACUAACGAAGAGUUAUAAUAUACAGAGGAAAAAUUCUAGCGGUCAAAACCAAAAAGAUAUAAAAAUAACCGUCAACACAAAAAGUAACCAUCAAUAUUUUAACGAAGCGUUGCGAUAAAAAGACAUAACCGAGAAAAAAUAACCGUCGAUAUUUUAACGAAAAGUUGCGAUAAAAAACCACAACCGAGAAAAAAUAACCGUCAAUAUUUUAACGAAAAGUUGCGAUAAAAAGACACAACAAAAUAAGUAAAUGUCAACAUUUUUACGAAAAGUUAUGAUAAAAAGACACAUCAGAAAAAAUAACUGUCAACGAAAAAUGUAACCGUAAAUAUUUUAACGAAGAGUUGCGAUAAAAAGACACAACCGAGAAAAAAUAACACUCAAUAUUUAAACGAAAAAUUACUAUAAAAAGACACAAACGGAAAAAAAUAACCGUCAAUAUUUUAACGAAGAGUUGCGAUAAAAAAACACAACCGAGAAAAAUAACCGUCAAUAUUUUAACGAAAAGUUACGAUAGAAAGACACAACCGAGAAAAAGAAACCUUCGAUAUUUUAACGGAAAGAUACGAUAAAAAGACAAAAACAAAAAAAGAAACCGUCAAUAUAUUAACUGAAAGUUAUGAUAAAAAGACAUAACCGAAAAAAUAACCAUCAAUGAAAAAUUGUAACCGUAAAUAUUUUAACAAAGAGCUAGAACAAAAAGAUACAACCGAGAAAAAAUAACCGUUAAUAUUUUAUAGAAAAGUUGCGAUAAAAAGACACAAACGUAAAAAGUAAUGUUAAUAUUUUAACGGAAAGUUGCGAUAAAAAGACACAACCAAAAAAAUAAUAGUCAACAAAAAAAAGAAACGUCAAUAUUUUAACUAAGAGUUGCGAUAAAAAGACACAACCGAGAAAAAAUAACCGUCAAACUUUUAACGGAAAGUUGUGAUAGAAAGACACAAACAAAAAAAUGAACGUCAAUAUUUUAACGGAAAGUUACGAUAAAAAGACACAACCAAAAAAAUAACUGUCAACGAAAAAAGUAACCGUCAAUAUUUUAACGAAGAGUUGCGAUAAAAAGAUAUAACCGAGAACAAAUAACUGUCAAUAUUUAAGCAAAACAUUGCGAUAAAAAGAGACAACCGAGAAAAAAAUAACCGUCAAUAUUUUAACAGACAAAAAAAGACACAAUCGAGAAAAAAAUAUCGUCAAUAUUUUAACAAAAAAGUUAUGAUAAAAAGCAGAAACGAAAAAAGUAACCGUCAAUAUUUUAACGGAAAGUUGCGAGAAAAAAACACAACUAAAAAAAUAACCGUCAACGAAAAAAGUAACCGUUAAUAUUUUAACGAAAAGUUGCGAGAAAAAGACACAACCGAAAAAUAACCGUCAACUAAACAAUUCACCGUCAAUAUUUUAACGGAAAGUUGCGAUAAAAAGACACAACCGAGAAAAAAUAACCAUCAAUAUUUUAACGGAAAGCUGCGAUAAAAAGACACAAAUGAAUAACGUAACAACCAAUAUUUUAAUGGAAAGUUGCAAUAAAAGACACAACCGAAAAAAAACCGUCAAUAUUUUAAUGAAGAGUUACGAUAAAAAACACACCCAAAAAAAUAACCGUUAAUAUUUUAACGGAAAGUUAUGAUAAAGAGACAUAACCGUUCAAAAGUGCAAAAUGCAUUUAUUGAGGUUGUUAUUUUGGUUAAUAAAACCAAUUUGAUAUGUAGUCUAAUGGUUGAUGUAAAAAAACUUCGUAGUAUUACUAACUAUACAAAAAAUGCAAUGAAAUUAUAUAAUGGAAAGACGUAACUUUAAAUGAAUAAAUGCAACUAUAAAGAUAUAACUGUAAACUGAAAAGAUACAACUGUAAUUGAACAAAUAUAACCGUAAAUAAUUCAACGAAAAUUCAAAGAGAAAAUUCAAUAAAAAGACAUAACCGUAAAAAAAAUAACCGAUUUGAACGAAAGGUUGCGAUAACAAGACGCAACCGUUCAGAUGUGCAAAUGGUAUUUAUUAGAUUCCUAUUAUAUAUAGAUUUAUAAUAUUAAAUAAUAUAUUUAAAGUAUAAAUUGUCAAAAAUAUUUAAAAUUUGUUACCUAAAACAAAACAAAAUCAUCUAUUUUUAAAAAGCUUCACUUUCCAAGUAAAAUAUAUUUUUAGUCGUAUUAAGUACUUUUUGUUCUCAAUUUUUUUUUUAUCAAAAUGUAUAGCAUAUAGUGUUUAUCUACACUUUUUCAAAAAUAUAUGUUAUAGAACAUUUUUUAAGAAAAUGUAACAAAAAAUAUUGAAAUAGGAUAUGUCUAAAAGAGAAGAAAAAAAUAAAUAUGCAAGAAGAGAUUAGAAAGUUUUAGUUAUUUUGAACAAAAAAAAAGAAAUAAAGAUGAAAAACAGAAUUAAAGUUCAAUGAGAAAUGAACAUGCAUGGGUCAAAAGCAUGGUUGGAUAAAUAUCUAUGGGGUAAUUAUAGAGAUAUUAGACAAAAUCAUCUAGUAAGCAUUACAAAAUUUAGCUAACAAUUGAAACUUUAAAUUUUUUAUUGGGGUCAACUGACCCCCUCCCAUUGCACUAGCUCCGCCACUGGGCCAAGAUACACCAAUCAUAAAGCUAAAGUAAAAAAGAAAUCAUAUCUUAAGUUUCUCGUAAAAGUAAAAACACCAAAACUGAACUUCAAAAAGAAACCAAAAGACCACUUAAAACCAAUUCUAGAACGUCUCAAGCGUGGAACUGUCUUCGGUGAUACUUCGUACCGUCUUUCUUGACAAUUUUUAAGCCUCCCUACAUUGUUAACUAUAUUUUGAACCUGUUAUGAAUCUCGUGUAUUCUUUUAUUAAUGAAUGAGGUUACAACUUAUAUAUAUACACAAUAAGGGAGACAAAUCCCAAUUGGACUAGGAAACCCUAAAGCCCAAAGCCCACUAAGACUAACAUAAACCGUCAUUGGGCGAAUCUUCUAGAAGAUAGACAUGGGCCUUCUAGAACAUGGACAUGGGCCUUCUAGAACAUGGACAUGGGCCACGGUUAUGGAGUCCAUCCGUAAUGUGGUUUACAACACUCCCCCUUGGAUGACAUAACCGUGUAGAUGCCAAAGGAUCUUUGUAAUGCGCUUGGGGAUGCUGCCUCAUUAAAACCUUACCAGGAAAACCCAUUGGGACAAAACCACGGUGAAUGAAAAAGAGUACAGCACGCAUUACUCCCCCUGUAUUGGUCAUCCCUGCAAGUCCUUAAGUCUCCGCAUUCCAAUUUGAUGCGUGAGCUUCCUUAAUGUUGUUGUCGGUAGUGCUUUAGUGAAGAGAUCGGCUGAGUUGUUGCUUGAACGAACUUGCACCACUUGAACUUCACCAUCCUUUUGUAGGUCAUGCGUGAAGAAGAACUUAGGUAGAAUGUGCUUUGUCCGAUCUCCCUUGAUGUAGCCGUCCUUGAGCUGAGCGAUACAUGGCUACGUUGUCUUCACAUAUGAUGGUCUUUGAUGUUGUAGUAGCUGCGCCUUGAAGAAGGCUGCCUACGUACCCUUGGAAGGGAUCAAGCCACACGUAGUUCCUAUUUAUUGACCAUGCCAUAAUCUGAUCUUACCUGCAUCAGCAAAACAAACUAAACCAAGGCAAACUAGACCUUUUUUGGUUAGAUCAAUAUAGAAUAAACCCAAAUAAACAAAGUACGAAGAAUAAACUUUAAAAUUUAACCAAACCUUCCUUCAAACCUUUCCAGUGCCUUUGGGUUGAUCAUGAACUAAAUUUAGACAAAGGAGGUUCACGGCAAAACAUAUGUCUGGUCUAGUGUGGCUAGCCAAGUACAUUAACGCUCCUAUGACACUGAGGUAUGGCACUUCAGGACCGAGAACUUCUUCCUCGUCCUUCUUUGGACCGAAUGGAUCACUAUCCAAUCCAAGGCUUCUCACCACCAUUGGGCCUGGUCAAUGGGCGGGCCUGGUCCUUAUUAAAUAUCCUUGAGUACUUUUCAGUAUAUGCCUUUUGAUGCACAAGGAUUCCAUUAUUCAUGUACUCAGGUUGUAAUCUCAAACAGAACUUAAUUAUUGCCUAGGUCUUUCUUUUAGAUAUAUUCAACUGUUUGGUCGAUUACCCAGAGGUUUAAAUUAUUCAUAUACACUGCUAUGAUUACAAAUCCUUUGUUUGCAAACCUCUUUAUGAAAAUACAUGGACUAAUGGGAUCAUUUAUAACAUUCCAUAUGCCCAUUUGGUCUAAGUCCAUGAAAGGAUUUGUCCAGCCUUAUGCAGUGAUAUUCUCGAGAAUCUUUCUUAUCUUUGAGCUCAAUACCCUCUGGUAAUCUCAUAUAUAUUAUCCAGUGGACUUAUAUAAAUAUGCAGGCAUUACAUCCAUUAGCCGCAAAUCAAAUCUUUUCCUUUAUAUAGCCAGACUUAGCAUCCACCACAGGGGAGUAUGUUUCUUCAUAAUCUAUCCCCGGUCUUUGUGAGAAUCCUUGUGCUAUAAGCCGUGCCUUAUAUCUCACGAUUUCAUUAUUCUCAUUUCUCUUCUUCACAAAGACCCAUUUGUGUCCUACUAGUUUUUACAUCGAAUGGUGUCCUUAAGGUCGGACCAAACUCAUUCCUUUUCUUAAUGAUUCUUAGCUCCACGUUUUAUGGUCUUGUACCAUUUAAUCAAUCAAGUCUUUGAGUGCACUCUAGUAUAGACGUGGGCUCCUGAUCCUCAUUUAUAUUCAUAAAUUCAAGUGCUACCUUGCAUGCAAAAUCAUCUUAUGUCGACAUUUCUUAUAUGUUCCAUUAUGUUCCAGACAUGAUAUAAUCGAUUUGAGAUUAAUUAUUAUCAGGACCUUUAACACUUUGCAGCUUGGCGUCCCAAGCUACAUUGUUUGGUACAUGUACCUUAGAGCCGGCCGGCCUUAUCUCCAUGUCUGGGAUGGUUUCCUUAAUAACCUCGGUUCCUAUUGCACCUUUCUUUAAUUUCCGAGGAUUUUUUUUUAUCAUUGGAACCUUAUUGGUCUACCACGUCUCAUACGUUGUCUAGACUCUGUAGCAACUUGACUAAGUCCCUUUUGGACAUCAAUUCGUACUGGUGCAUUACAAGCUGGUAUGUACGAUUUUGUAACUUUCUUUUGGGUCAGCAAAGGAAUCUGGCAAUUGAUUAGCUAGCUUUUCAAAUGUAUAAUCUUAUGGACCUCUGAUUCUCAUGCCAGAGUCGGAGGAUCUUGCCAAUUUAAGGAUGUUUGAUUCCAUGAUAUUUCUUUUAUUGCUUUACCCAGCUUGUUCGUCUCUCCACCUAAAGUAGGAAACUCGGAUUCAUUAAAAUGACAAUCCGCGUAUCUAGCCUUAAAUAGAUCACCCGUAGUUGGCUCUAGAUACUUAAUAAUGGUGGGAGAAUCAAAUCCAACAUAUAUUCCCAUCCUCCUUUGAGGUCCCAUCUUUGUUCUAUGUGGUGGAGCAAUCGGUACAUAUACGGCACACCCGAAAGUCUUUAGAUGGGAUAUGUCUGGCUCAUGACCCAUGAGUAAUUGGGAUGGUGAAUAUUUAUGUUCACUAGAUGGCCUUAUGCGUAUAAGCUCUGAUGCAUGUAAAACAGCGUGUCCCCAAGCGGCUACUGGAAGCUUCGACCUCAUGAGUAAUGGUCGAGCUAUCAAUUGAAUUCGUUUAAUGAAGGAUUCCGCUAAUCCAUUCUGUGUAUGUACAUGUGCCACGGGAUGUUCCACACUUACCCCCAUGGACAUACAGUAGUCAUUAAACGCUUGGGAUGUUAAUUCACCGGCAUUAUCUAGACCUAUAGUCUUAAGCGGAAAAUCUGGAAAAUGGGCUCUCAGUCUUAUGAUCUGGACCAACAACCUAGCAAACGCUUGGUUUCUAGAGGAUAAUAAACAAACAUGCGACCAUCUUGUCGAUGCAUCAAUGAGGACCAUGUAAUAUCUAAAUGUCCCACAUGGUGGGUGUAUUGGUCUACAUAUAUCUCCUUGUAUCCUUUCUAGAAAGUUUAAGGUUUCUAUAUUUACCUUAGCCGGUGAUGGCCUUAUAAUGAGUUUCCCUUGUGAACAUGCUUCACACUUGAGAUUCUUAGGGAUAACUCUUUUCUCUUUUAGGGUGUGCCCCUUUGAAUUAGUUAUUAGUUUACGCAUCAUACUAUGACCCGGAUGGCCAAGCCGGUCAUGCCAUAAAGUGAAUUUCUCGAUGAACUCUUUGUUCAUUGCCAUAUUAGCUUCGAUCAUAUCGAUUUUAGCAUAGUAGAGACCAGUGGAUAAUGCGGGUAUAGUCUCUAGGACUUUCUUAUGUCCUUUGGUGAUCUCAAUUAUAUUUAGGAAUUCUUUGUUUCCUUCACCCUUUGUUUCAAUAUGGAAACCAUUCAAUCUUAUUUCUUUGAAACUCAAUAAGCUCCUCUUUGAGCUGGGUGAAUAUAAGGCAUCGCUUAGUUCAAGAUGCGUGCCAUUUGGUAAUAGAAUAUGGGUUUGGCCGUAGCCCUCAAUAAGAUUUGCUAUACCUGCUAUAGUGCUAAUAUUGGCAUUUUUUCAUUAUGAGAUUUAGGAAAAUAUCUCUUAUCUUUUGUGUGGCUCCACUAUCCACCACAAAUAUGUUCUUGUCCUCGGCCAUUUCUUAUAUGGACAAGAAUCAUGUUUUAAACAUAAAAUAAUAUAAAAUAAAUUCAAGGAAAUAACAAUCAAUGAAAACAUAAAAUGCAAAGAAAACAUAGAGGUUUUGAUGUCGAACUCAGAUUUAUCAACUUGAUUCUUUUAGGCAAUCAGAAGUCUCAUACUCUAUUAGAUCAUCUUGAUCAUGUUCACCAUUUUUAUAUACCAAAUGGGCUUUAGGAUUCUUCCUUUUCACACUCUCUUGAUAGAGGUCACAACGAUGUUUGGAAUUCCUACAUAUCUUAGCCCAAUGGUUCCCCAUUCCACAUCUAUGACAUACUCAUUUGGUCGAGUGUUGUGGUUUGGAAAUACCACAUCGUCCUCGCCCUCGACCACGGCCGGAAUUAGGUCUACAUCCACGGUUAUAGUGGUUAUAGUGGCCACAACCACGUCCUUUCCAUCCACUACGGCUACGACCGUGUGGUCUAUUACUUUAGACGUGGUUAGAUUCUUUGGAUUCUUUCUUAUCCUCUGCGGCCUUAUUGGCAUCAGGUAAUGGGGUUAAUCUAUGAGGUCGUAAUUCACUGUUUUUAUCAGUAAGUCAUUAUUUUGCUCAUCUAGCAAUAGACUCAUCCAUGGACUUAUAGUCCUGGAUUAUGAGACUCUCAAUAAGAUGGUGGCUAAUAUUGUCUUGUAUCUAUCUUUCUCUCUUGGCAUUAUUGCCUUAUUAGAUACAUUCACCAAGUCUUUUUGACUUUUAGGAUAAUCUUAGUAUCCAUUGCCCAUUUUAAAUAAUUAUCUCCUAAGAGAUUUAGGGCAGUAAAAUACAAGUUGUAAUUCAACAUCUACAAGGAAAAGUUUUGAGUCAAAAUCAUGUAAUCGUUAUGUCAUGCGGUAUUUGAGACCGAACCAUGAAUCGAUUUACUUAGGGAUUUGACUUUCCUCUUUUGCUUAGGAUUAGAUUUCCUCUUUUGCUUAGGAUUAGAUUUCCUCUUUUAAUUAGGAUUAACUUUUCCUUUUCCUUUUAGGAUUUACUUUCCUCUUUACUCUAGGAUUAAUUUUCCUAUUUCACUUAUGAUUUUAGAUUUUUAAGAUUUCCUAUUUUAUUUAGGAUUUGGAAAUUUUCUAUUUUGAAUAGAAUUAAUGAUUUUCCUAUUUACAAUAGGAUUUAAGAUUUUCCUAUUUUAAUUAGGAUUUUAGGGUUUUAAGAUUUACAAUAGGAUUAUCUUUUCUAAGGUUUCUAGGGUUCAUGCGAUUUUAGUUUUAGGGUUUCUAACAACUUAUGCAUGUAAUCAAUCAAAGAAACAAUCAAUCUAACAACCUAAACAACCUAAACAACCUCAAUCAAUCGAUUAUAUUUUAGGGUUUUAGGUUUCCAAUUCGAUUUAGGGUUUUAAAAGUUUCGGCCAUGGCUAAGUGUUUUCGAGUUUACGAGUUUGAGAUUAAGCAAUAAUAACUUUCCUAGCAACUUAAACGAGUCAAUCAAUCGGAUCAUCCAAGGAAAUAACAAUCGCUUAUCAAGCAAGGUUCGUUUUUAGAGUUUCUCUUUGCUUAACUUUCAAGUUCGAUUGUUGGUUCUUUAGCUUUACGGACUAGAACCUGGAGCUAAAGACCUCGGUUAUCAACUUGUCACGAGCGUAUGGUCCUUGGAAGGAAUCGCCGAGCAAAGGAGAAAACAAACGGACGGACGAGCUAGGGUUUUCAAAACAAAUCGGCGCACACUGUAUCUGUGCGUGAAGGCGCGUCGGUUGUCAGAUCGACAAGACGUUUGCACUGAUUGAUUCGUCUCGGCGAGGGCUUCGAUUUGAUAUCUUUCUCGUUUUCUGGGUCCUCACGAUUUGAGAGAACGACCUCUUUGAAGUUCCGAGGCAGAUUUCUUUGCGUUUUAGGGGUUUGAUGGAGAUAGAGAGAUCGUGAGAUUAGGGUAUAUGUGUCAGAUCUUUAGCUAAGGGAUUUAGAGGCUAUCGUGCUGAUAACGUGUUAUGAAUCUCGUGUAUUCUUUUAUUAAUGAAUGAGGUUACAACUUAUAUAUAUAUACACAAUAAGGGAGACAAAUCCCAAUUGGACUAGGAAACCCUAAAGCCCAAAGCCCACUAAGACUAACAUAAACCGUCAUUGGGCGAAUCUUCUAGAAGAUAGACAUGGGCCUUCUAGAACAUGGACAUGGGCCUUCUAGAACAUGGACAUGGGCCACGGUUAUGGAGUCCAUCCGUAAUGUGGUUUACAACAGAACCAUCUUUAUUGACAAUUUUUUAUUGAUACAGUAAAAACGGUAUUACAUUCCUCCCUAUAUGUAUAUCCAGAGUUAUAUCAACAUAAUACAGACUAAGGGAAAAGAUGAAUAAAGCGUUGGUUUGGUUAAUUACUUUGUUAUGUCUAAUGUUCUCUGCAACACCAAACAUAGUUUUGGCCCAUCCACCAUACAUAUCUCCAAAAACAAGUAAGUUUCUAACUCUUACAAACUAUAUGAAUUUUCUUUUGCUUACAAAUAUUCAAAAUUAAUCAGUUCUUGUUAUUAUUUUUAAUAUUGAAAAAGGAACAAGAGAAGGGGUUUGGGAUCAUAAGAUAAUGAAUGUGAGAAAGAUUCGAGUAGGAGGCAGUAUUUCAAGGCGUGCACCUGGCAACAACCCCUAGCCACAAUCUCAUGGAUUGUUAGUGUUGUUUUAGUAUCAUGCGAUUUAACUUGGUCGCAAAAAAAUAUAUUUUUGCAUGAAAUUAUCAGAUCGGUGAUUGUUGGUAAAGAAUUACAAGGAGAUAAGGUUUAUACAUACAUAUAUGAUAGGAUUGACAUAUUUAAUGGUGAUAAACGCCGAUGAACUAUAAUCAAUUAGUGAUCUGAUAUACUGCAAAAUCUCUGACCAGUAUAAGCAUGAACAAGCUAAAUGCCACAUUAAAUGUAAUUGUACAUGAGUCAUUAUCACACGUCGAACCUACACGGAUCUCAAAUGUCAUUGCACCCACCUUAUCAUUGUUGCCCUUCCUAUUCUUUGAGUUUUUUUUGUGAAAGGGAUUUUGUCUCUUCCAUAUAUUGAAUUAAAGCUUUGAUCAAGAACACAAAAUCUCAAGAAUAACUCUCUCUUUAUUAAGCUUUAGAAAUUACUCAAACUAAAACUCAAUCUCAUAAGUUGUAUCACACCUUGAUACCUCCUUAUAUAACAAAAGCUAUUGACCUAAUCCUAACUCAAUUAGGAAUUGUAUUAGAUAACUCCUAAUACAUAUAUUCUAGAUAACUCCUAGAAUAUUUAGCUUUAUCUCUUUUAUAUUUUAGUAACUUAUUUCAAGUUUAUCUCAACAUUUUCCCCCUUAAACUUGAAACCUUCCUUCGACACAUCUUGAACACCGAGAAGAUCUCUCAUCUCCUAGAAUCUGAUCCUACCAAAUGCCUUAGUCAAAAUAUCCGCUCUUUGCUCACUCCCGGGAACAUGUUCAACCUCAACUUGUUCAUUCUCUACACAUUCCCGAAUAAAGUGGUACUUCUUGUUGAUGUGUUUGCUGCGCCCAUGGAACACCGGAUUCUUUGCAAGUGCUAUCGCCGAUUUAUUGUCAAUGAGUAAUGUCACCUUCUUGCACGAGUUGUCAGUCACUUCUCCGAGUAGUUCUUGGAGCCAUAUAGCUUGUUUUGAUGCUUCUGUUGCUGCCAUAAAUUCAGCCUCGCAGGACGACAAAGCCACCGUGUCUUGCUUCUGAGUACACCAAGUAAUAGGACAAUUCUCAAGGUAAAAGAUGUGUCCAGUUGUACUUCUUCCAUCGUCUUCAUCUACAUUGUGACUGCUAUCACUAUAGCCCACAAGCUCACCUUUGUCACCCCGAGUGAAAGACAGUCCAAGAGUAAGUGUUCCUCUUAAGUAUCGGAGGAUUUGUUUUAGUGCCACUCCAUGUGAUUCUUUAGGUUCUUGCAUGUACCUACUUAAUACACCAACACAGUACGAAAGGUCAGGUCGUGUAUGCAGCAAGUAUCUUAGACAUCCUAUGAUCCUCCUAUACUCCUUCUCGUCAAUGCAAGUCUCUUCUUGUGCUUUUGACAACUUUAGUCCUGCGUCCAUUGGUAUUUGGACUGCGUUGCAUCCUUCCAUUCCCGUUUCUCCUAAGAUCUUCGCAGCAUAUCUUUCUUGCUUCAACGUGAUACCAUCUUCAUGUUGACAUACUUCAAUACCGAGAUAAUAGGUUAGUUUGCCAAGAUCACUCAUUUCAAACUUAGCCGACAUUCCCUUCUUGAAAUCCAAAAUCAUGUUCAAGUCUGAUCCCGUGACAAGCAAGUCGUCCACAUACACUGCGACUAAGAGAAGAUGCUCCUUAUCUCUCUUUCGAUUCAAUGAGGGUUCUUUCACACAUUUAAUAAAAUUCAACUCCUUAAGAAUUUUAUUCAACUUAUGAUUCCACGCCCUAGGUGCUUGCUUUAAGCCAUAGAGAGCUUUGUUUAACUUGAGGACCUUAUCUUCACUUCCUUUGAUCACAAAACCCUCGGGUUGAGUAACAUACACUUCUUCCUUCAACUCACCAUGAAGAAAUGCUGUUUUUACAUCGAGAUGAUGUAUCUCCCAUCCAUUUGAGGCCGCUAAAGCAAUGAUGAAUCUAACAGUUUCAAUGCGUGCUACUGGAGAAAACACCUCGUCAUAGUCUAUACCAAGUCUCUGCACAUAACCUUUCGCCACUAACCUUGCUUUAUACUUGUUAAUGCUUCCGUCUGAGUUUCGUUUUAUCUUGAAAACCCACUUUAGUCCAAUUGGUUUUGCUCCAAUAGGAAGAUCAACUAAGUCCCAAGUCUUGUUCUUUGUAAUCGACGAAAUUUCUUCAUCGCAAGCAUCUCUCCACUGUUCUAGCUCCUUUGCUUCAUUAAAGUCCCAUGGUUCCUCAUUUAAAGAAAGUAAGAGACGUUCUCCUUCAAGUUCAGCUAACAAGACGUAAUCUUCAAGAUAGCUAGGCUUUUUCUUUGGUCUCGUCGAGAGAGCUCUUAAUACGGGCUGAGACUGAACUGCUUCUUCUCCCUCCUCUGUUUCACCAACUUCCUCUGUUUCACCACCUUCCUCUGUCUCACCUAUCGGAGAAGUAUCUCCUUCUUCAGACCGUAUCUCUUCACCUUCUUCAGCUUCCUCUGUUUCGAUGUUACUCUGUUCUCCACUUCCUUUUACUCCAAAAUCUCCAAAAUUGACCUCAUACAUACUCGGAUCAUGACUGACUUCUUUUCCUUGACCACUCCACUUCCAGCUUCUGGUUUCAUCAAACACCACAUCCCUACUAACAAUGAUUUUCUAACUUGACGGGUCUAACAAUCUGUAUGCUUUGGAGCCUGGUUCUGUUCCCAAAUGAACCAACAUUCUUGAUCUAUCAUCCAACUUCUUCAAGUGUGUAGACUCUGACUUUGCAUACCCGAUACAACCAAAGACUCGUAGGUGUUCAACAUUUGGUUUUUUUUCUUUAAAGACUUCAUACGUUGUUUGAUUUUCAAGAGUUCGUGUUGCUACUCGAUUGAUCAAGUACGUGGCAUGUCUUACAGCUUCUCCCCAAAGAUAGUUUGACAUAGACAUAUGUUUUAAAAUGCUUCGCGUCAUUUCCAUCAAUGUUCUGUUCCGUCUCUCUACCACUCCGUUCUGUUGCGGUGAAUAUGGUGCUGUCAAAUGCCUUUUAACUCCGGUGCUGUCACAAAACUUUUGAAACUCGAUAGAUGUGAAUUCUCCACCCCUGUCCGUACGAAAUGUCUUGAUAGAGUUCCCGGUUUCUUGUUCUACUAAUGCUUUGAAUCCUUUAAAUCUUUCAAAGGCAUCACUCUUCUCUUUCAAGAGUAGCGUCCACAUGUACCGAGAAUGGUCAUCUAUUAGUACAAAUAUGUACUUGUUCUUGGCAGCCGUAGAAGGUGUGAUUGGUCCACAAAGAUCACCGUGAAUAAGCUCUAGUGUGGUGGUUGCACGAUAUGAUGUAGCUUGAGGAAAAGUUUUCCUUAUUUGUUUCCCAAGUAAGCAUGAUGAACAAGUUUCCUUUUCAACAUUAAAGAUUGGCAUUCCAGUGACUAGCUCCUUUUUAACCAUUGUCUUCAUAGUUUCAAGUCCAACAUGACCAAGUCUUGCAUGCCACUUUGCUGAAUCAUUUGAUGUCAUGAGUUGUAGGCAUCUCGUAUUUUCUACUUCCAUGAGCACCUUGUAGAGACGAUUCUUUGACCUGCUUGCUCUUACCAACAACUUUCCAUCACGAUCAUACAAAACUAGACCUUCUCCUUUCAUUUUAACUUCGCAACCCGCUUCUGUGGCUUGACCAAGAGAGAUAAUGUUACUUCGCAAAUCUGGUAUAUAGUAGACAUCGGCCAGAACUUUUCGUUCACCAUCUUUGCUCACAAAAAGAAUCGAUCCCUUCCCCUUUAUAUCAAUACGGGAAUCAUCUCCGAAUCUCACCUUUCCCGUAAUUGUCUCAUCAAUCCUUGAAAAAUACUCUCGGUUCCCGGACAUAUGGUUACUUGCUCCAUUGUCUAAGUACCAUACGUUGUUUGAAUCCGUUUGUGCUUCAAAAUCACUAGUCUUUAUGUUCUGCUCAUUGAGAUAUACGACCUCAUGCACCAUCAACUUGUCAGCCUCAUGUGUUUCAUCUCCGUCAUUCUCAUAUGCUUCUUGAAGUUUAAGCAGCCUGUCUGGACAGUUUGACGCGUAGUGUCCAGUCUUAUCGCAUCUAUAGCAUAUGACCUUUGAUUUAUCUCUCCCUUGCUGGUUCUGAUAGUUUCCGUAGCGACCACGUCCUCUUCCUCCUUGAAUGAAACGACCUCCUUGACCUCUUCCUCUUCCUGACCCGUAGCUUCCUUGGUAGGUUUGUGAAUCUGAAUUAACAUACAUAAGUUUCCCUUGAUCUUCUUGUUGAUUUUCUUCUUCAUCACAAAUCCUCUCCUCAUAGGUUUUCAUCCUACCUACGAUGUCUUCAAAGCUGGUUUUAUUGAGAUCAAGUACUUGUUCUAACGCCGCAAUGAUGUGUAUAUACCUCUUUCUUGGUAAACUGUUGAUAAAUUUCUUUACAAGUUUGGUAGUUUCAAUAGUUACUCCCAAAGAUGCAGAUUUAGUGGCUAUCUCAGAAAGUUUACCAGCAAAACCAUCAAUAGUAUCAGCGUCUUUCAUCUUUAUUCUUUCAAAUUCAGACAUUAGAGUUUGCAGUCUCGCUUCUUUAACCCUCUCAGCUCCGAUAUUUCGUGAAUUUAUUGAAUCCCAAACCUUCUUUGCGUUAUCCUGGUCUCCAACUUGCAAGAUAAGCGCCUCCGGUAUAGAUUGGAAUAACAAAGCCCUAGCUAUGUCAUGUUUCUCUUCAUCGUUGGUUCCUGGAUCGAUGGUCUCCCAGACUUUAUGUACCUUGAGCGUUGCUCGCAUCCUCAUAACCCACGCGGUGUAGUUUGUAUCAUUAAGCAUAGGACAUUUAAUCGAAGAGGAGGAACCGCCUUCCUUGCCCUUCACGGCGACGAUAUCUCCCAUCCGUUUGUCUUAUGAAAACAAUACUUCUCUUAGGUUUACCUUCCUUGAAAUCUCGAAAUCAAAACACUUAAUUCAAUAGGUUUAGAGCUCUGAUACCAAUUAUUGAAUUAAAGCUUUGAUCAAGAACACAAAAUCUCAAGAAUAACUCUCUCUUUAUUAAGCUUUAGAAAUUACUCAAACUAAAACUCAAUCUCAUAAGUUGUAUCACACCUUGAUACCUCCUUAUAUAACAAAAGCUAUUGACCUAAUCCUAACUCAAUUAGGAAUUGUAUUAGAUAACUCCUAAUACAUAUAUUCUAGAUAACUCCUAGAAUAUUUAGCUUUAUCUCUUUUAUAUUUUAGUAACUUAUUUCAAGUUUAUCUCAACACCAUACUCCAAUAUUACAUGAAGCCUUUCCAAACGUCAUCGUUUAAACCCUUUGGCAGCUUCUUCCCUUCUAUCCACUUUUGCUUCCACUCGUAAAAAUUGUCUCUGUAUAAGAGGUCGUCGCUUGGCUUAAGAACUCGGCACAUAAAAGAUUUAUAUGUUGCGACUUCCAAUUGAAAUCUUGCUAUGGAAUUAAAAAAAAAAAACAUAUCUUAGACAAGGUCUCUAAUUAAAAGUAAUUUUAAUGAAAAAUAAAAUAAAAUGUCUACUUACCGAAAAGGAUUUGAACCAUAUCUCUUUGUCACACCCGUGUCCCUCAACAUUGAGAUGACGUGCGUUCACUUUACUUUUCUUUUCCUGUAUUCCACUUUCUUAAUUUAUCAUGUCGUAUUUUUCCGAAAUCACUUUUUUUUUUACUAAAAACUCAAUAUAAACCUGUCUUAUAAAAAUAAUCUUAAAUCGUUUAAAACCGUUGAAUAAAACGUAUAAAAAAACAACAAUAAAAGCCAAUAACCCGAGGUUCCCGAAAUACACCACAAGAGAGACGGACUUGUGCGACUACUCACAAUUCUCACCCUGAUCUGGAGAAAAAAAGAAAAAAAUGGUGAGUAAAGAAUUACUCAGUGAGAGGAUCUUUUCCGCCUACUGGAAAUACGAUACACGAUACUACCUUUACACAACAAUCAACAAUCACAUAGAAAAAGACACAACACUCAUAUAGUUUGCAUCACUAUGCAAACCUAUAACACAAAACUCAUUCUCGCCCUUAGCGAGAUCUCCACAUUAAUUUCUGGUUCGAUCAUCUCCCCUAAACUUUUAACCUAUCUAGUUCCAGUGGACUCGUCAGUCUAUUAUUGAGCUACAAAGAACCCGUCAAUUCAAUGUUGACUAUUUUCCACUUUUCCACUGUUCAUCAUCUCAAAAGAUGGUAAUUUCACUUUCUCAUAUAACACAUAUACUAACUUGUCAUCACAAUGACAUUAACUCAAUCAUCCUAUAUCACUAAAACAAUCAUCAUAUCAUCAAUCCUAAUUAACAAGUCAUUACUACUAAGCAAACAUAUCUAAUCCUAUGCAAGUGAAUCAUGAAGCAUAAAAUAGAAACUUGUAAUCGUAUAUCCGCAGAUCACACCCUCACCUGACUUUGGAAUGGAAGACAAAGGUUGAUAACGCCUAAACAAGAUCUGAAACUUGCAGCAUAAGAAACAGCAAAGAGGACAAAUUAGGGUUUUUGCAGUUUUGGCAGAACAGUUGAUUCUUGCUCAACAAGCAAUCCUUGUGGCAGCUAAGGCUAACCUUUUCCGGUGACCUUGAAGGCUCCGACUGCUUCCAUGACACUUUCUCUAUCCUUAUCCACCGUCGGCUUGCCCUCCACGGAUCCGAGAUGACCGGAAUCUGGUCUCCAAAAGCCCAACUUGAAUCUCGUAACGACGAGCCGUUGGUUGCUGUGUCUUCCUUGCAGUGAGAUCUAUCCAAUGAUACCAACCUCAGGAUCUGAUUCCUUCAGAUCUAACGGGAAAAUUCUCUCUCACUCGGGGUUGUCUCUUCCUCUUUCUCGCAAACGUACAAACCACCACAACAUCAGCAACAACAGAAGCUUACAAACUCAACAACUAGGAGGUGGCUGACUUAGAUUAGGGCUUACGAUCAAGACGUGACGGUGGCUUGAGUUGCUGCGACAAAGAGAGAGAUAUAUAUAUACUCCUAUAGUAUAUACACGACACUUGACAGACUCAUCUACUUCUAUGGCAAUAAGCAUAUGAUAAUUGUAUAUAAUUAACAUAAACUUGCAUUUGUAAACAUGUGAUAAACAUGUAUUAAUUACAAGCCUUACAUACUCACUAAACACCUUAAUGAUCUAUUCUCGACUUCUCGUAGGUUUUCCCACCAAAUUAUUAUGAUUACACUAGAUGAUUACCCACGGUAAGCGUGGGUUUGUUUUAAAAAUUGUUAAGAACAAAUUAUGUUGAUUGUUCUUGUUGAUAAUUUUUGUUUACUUUUUUAUUUCUUAUUGUAAACAAAAUUAAAUUCAUCUUAUAUAGUUACAAUUUCUAUGAUUAGAUUCAUUUUUGACGUGAAAUAUUAAUUUAUAUAUCUUUAUAUAUAAAUAUAAUUAUUUAUAUUUUUAAGAUCCUAAUAUUGUUUCACCAAUAUCAUGCAUAAAUACAACAAAAAUAUAGGAUAUUUUGUACAAUUAUAUGUAAUUAUGUUAUUUGUGUGAUUUAAAACUCGACUAACAUGAUUAUAAAUACAAUUUCUUGUUCAGUGUACUCUCCUGAUCUAGUACUCCAAUCACAUCGCGAUAGACUCAUUAUUUUUUUUUUUUUUUUUUGAAUACAAUAGACUCAUUAUUAGAUAUUGGAUAGACAUAAAUUGAACAAGAUCUCAGGAGUUUUCAUAUGAAAAUAAGAAAAAGAAAGCAAAAACUAAAUUGUCAUUUAAGUCAACACUUUUAGAUCUUCUACCAUUGCAUAUAACCAUAUAAGAGAAAAGUCAUGUUUUGAAUUCUUUGGUAUAUCUAACAUCUCAAAGGUGCAUCACUUAAAAAAAUUUGCAUGUCAAUAUUACUAACUUACCACUAAAAAAACAAAAGAGAAAGUCAUAUGAUGAAUCAUAUAUGAACAACAAAAUGUAAUAACGAGAAAGACUCAAGGUAAAAUUACGAAACUAAUAAGAGUUUAGGUAGCAAACAACUAAAUUACAACAAAAAUAAAGUGGUGACCAUUGAUAAAAUUUUUUUUAGUAAAAUAAGAGUAUAAAAAAAGUAGUGUUUUUUAUUAACAUAAUUUUGUUUUUUAAAAAAAAAAAUAAAUCACUUAAGAGUAGAAUUGAUGGAAAAUUUUUUCUCAUUUAAUUUAGCUAAUUUAUUUUUAAAAUAAUGUAGCAUGACACAUAUCAUUUUUUGGUGUGAUGAUGUGGUACUCAUAUGGAGAGAGUUGACCAACUUUCAUAUAUAUGAUUCACGUCCGAGAUUUUUAAACCACACUUCCUUUCCUAAAUGACUCUCAGAAACAGAGUCCAAACAUACGUGUUCAUAAUAAUUUGGAUCAACGUGAAAGUGUUGGGGUUGUAUUCAGUACGUACUUUUAACUCAAAUAUCUUGGGAUUUAAAUUUAGUCGCCAAAAAAUGUUCUUGCAUGAAAUUAUCAGCUGAGUGAUUGUUGGGAAAGAAUUAGAAGGUGAUCACGAAGAUAAGAUUGACACAUUUAAUUCCUACUAGUAUAAUAAUUCCAUGGUUGAGAGGCUAAUCUAAUUUUCUAUGAUGUAUCUAGCAUUUUCCAAGUUGGAGACCGAUCAUAUAAAUUCAUCCCAUAUAAUGUGAUACUGAAUUAUUAAUUAGUAGAAAAAUGCAGAAGAAAAAAAACCUUCAUAUUCUUCCAAUCUUCUCCGCAGGGGCCAAAGAGUAUAUCACGCCCACCUUUCAUAAAUAUUUCAAUAGCUUUCGAUGUCUGCCGGUUUGCAAAUGAAAGAUAAUCCAUUGAUUUCUGAGUUGUGUUUAAAAUUAUAUUAUUAAAAAUAAACAUAAAUACUAUGUACUCUUUAAAUAUAAUUUCAUAGUAAAACUAAUACUAUGAAAUUUUUAUUAGUAAUAAUAAUAUAUUUCAACUUUUAACAUAAACAAAAUUUAAAAUGAUCAUAAUUCAAAUUGUUGAAUGUGUUAAUGAGUUUUAGAAUGGAAGUCAAAUUUAAAUACAUGGUAGAGUAAUUUUUUUUCACGUAAUUGUGUUUCUAAAAUUUUAAAGAGAAAAAUAAAUUUUAAAUUGAAACAUUAAUUUAUAAGAGUAUACUACAAGAUUUUUUCUUUAUUAUUAAAUGUUCACUUAAGAAAAAAUUUCUAAAGUCAACUUAAAAAUCUAAGACAAAGACAUUGAAAGAGUCAGAUCAUGUGAAACUAUUGAAAUAAAUCGAUGACAAGAAAAAUAUAGAGACAAAUCAUGAAAUUUCAAAAACGAUAUUUGGUUAUAUUUUUCAUGAGUUGUAUAACAAAAUAUACGUAAAGUGAUAUGUAAGUUGUUAACAAAAAAAGUGAUAUGUAAAUUAUGUAACAUAUAUUUCAAGUGGACCUAUAACUCUAUAACCUAAUCAAAUAGAAAAACACAUUUGAGAGUUUAUCAUUUAAAUUAAAUAUUUUUAACCCAAAAAAUUGGUGAAAACAACAUAUUUAAAGUAUUUUAUGUUUUUAUUUGACAAGAGGAUGUUAAGGUUGCAUCACAAGAUUAAUCACUCAAAAUAACAAAAACGGUAAGCCAAAUAGUUGUUUAAAUCACAAAAAUGGUAGGCUAAAGAGUGGUCUGAAAUCUCAAUGACACUAUUACAGAUGAAGAUAAAUAACCUUAUUUAAGUGUUGGAUGUGUAAGUGUUUUGAAAAAAAAAAAAAUAAUAUUUUCAUACUAACUUUUUUAAGUGUAUUUAAACAUUAGAUUAUGCAAUCUUUAAAAAUCAAAUUGUUUAAAAAUAUCAAAUAUACAUUUUUUAUAUAGAUAUUAGUCAAAUUUUUAACAUUUAGAGUUAUCUUCAACUCUUAUAAUUAUAAAAAUUUGAUUUUAUAUAAACAUAAUAUAUUACUAAACCCACGCAACAUGGGUCAUUUUUAGUAAAUGUCAAAGGCACAUAGAGAAGAGAUGUAAGAAAAAAAGAAUAACUAAAAAAAAGUUUUUGUCAAUAAUCAAUAGACAUUAAAUAUCAACAGCUUCAUAGAUCAUUAUGCUUCUACAUCCUAUUUUCUACGGUAGUCCUCUUCUUUUUCACAUACAUUACUUCAACAGUGAAAACUAAAAAGGUGAAGAAUGUCAACUAUCUCCAUAUGAGUGACACGUCAACUACAUGUGCACUCAAUAAUUAAUGUAAACUUUAUAUCUUCUAUUCUAAAUAUUAAUGGUGUAUUUAUUAUUAUUUUUUUAAAAAUAAUAAUAAUAAUAAUAAAUAAAUAUAUAUAUAUAUAUAUAUAUAUUUAAUUUUUCUAAUGCUAACUUUAUUUUAUAAUAAUUAUUAUAUAUAUAUAUAUAUAUUUUUUAGUGAAAUUAGUUUACUGAUUUGUUUAUUCGUUUUGGUUUUCUUUGCUAACUUUUUGGAGUUUUAACUCAAAAUAUGAGUAUAUAAUAAGUAUAAUGGGUUAGUUAAUAGUUUGAAUAUGUUAUUCUCUUUAAUCUCAUCUAUAUAAUAUAUCACAAAGGGUGAGAUAGAGUGUAAAUGAAACUUCUCUCUACUAUCCUGGUUGUUCUCUUUGCCAAGUGCAGAAAGUCCAACCUAACAUAAAGUAAAGUGUUACUACUCAUUUAUGUUGCAAAUUUCGGCUUCACAAAUUACAACAUACCGCAUGCUCGAUCUUAAUCUAUCUGAAAAGAAACACAAAUACUCGAUCUAAUCAAUUAAAAUUCUGGUUAUAUAUGUGAAGUCUUGUGGUUAAUACCGUAUGCCUUGAAAGCCGGUUGGAUGAAACUGGUGAUCAACUUUAAAUAUGACAAAAUAAUUUACCCAUUGAAUAAUAAAACACAUUUAUUCCAUUUAAUUUUAAUAAAACUAUCGCAAAAUAAUUAACUACAAAUAAAUGUCAAAAGCACAUAUAGAAGAGAUAUAAGAAAAAAAAAAUAUUUGUCAAUAAUCAAUAGACUUUGGCUUUGAAUGGAGAAUAGUUAAUUGAAGGUCGAACGUGGGUCAAGGAUGAUGCAGCGAGAUAUUUCUAUUAUUAUCAUAUUUUAAUUAAUUAAUAAUUACUGUUCUAGAAUAUUCUAUGUUUUAGGGUUUUCGGUUUUAUUAUAAAUAGCCUUGUUAGGCCUCCUAUUGUAUUUGGUUCUUUUUAAUUAAUAUAUUAAAGAGCUUUUGAUAAGCACUGAGAAGAGUAUUCUGAAACGAAGUCUAAAUCUUUGUUUAUCGUAAAUCAAUUGAUCUCCGAUAACACUAGAAUUCCGAGCUACGAUUGUUCUGCUUGAGAUCCAUUGAUACUCAAUAUUACUUUCGUAAUUUGCCCCUAGAAGCUUCCGCUACGUCAAAGGAGAAACAUUUUUAUGUUGUCAUUUACCAUUUUAUUUUAUUAGAAAGUAAUUCAAUUGUAAAAAUAAUAAAUAUUGGACGAACCAAUGAUGGUUCAAUAAUGUGAACAAAAAACAUGAUCUUCUAACUAAAGUAGUAAUAUAGUAAAUAAUGGUUGUAUCAACUUUGUUUCUUUUGUGGUAAGAUUUUUUAAUACGAAUAUACAUUGUUUUCUUUUUUCUUUUGAUCAUUUUAAUUUAACUAAAGUUUACAUGAUAACAUAAUAAUGUAAAUCAAACACUCGAUAGAAUUUUAUUUAUUUAAAACUAUUUUCUUUUUAAUGUUUUACAUAUGUAUAAUAAUAAAUAUAUUUGUUGCAUUUAUAGAUUAUAGUAAGAAUAUGUUAAACCAAUAUUGUAAAUUUAUUUUAAUAUAAUUAUUUUUAUUAUGUAUAGCUUAAUUAAAAUAUUUUAUUUGAAAUUAACUUCUUUUAUAAUAUAAUAUUUUACCCGUAUUUUCUUAUCCGCUUUCACCAUUCAAUACAUAUUUUAAAGCGUUUCUUGAUCCGUACUUGUACUGCCAAAUCUAUUUGAUUUACUUAUAUUAGGUUUGAUAUGUUUGAUCCGCUCCGUCCGAUAAGCUUUCUCCGAUUAACGGUGCAAUUUCUGGGGAACAUUAAAUCGUAUAGCGAUUUGCGGGUUCAGUCUAGAUUUGUUUUGUUCAGAUAAAAAAAUUAAAAUUCUAUGUUAGUUCAUGUGGGUUUACGCACUAGACAAAAUUCUGAAGAUGAAUUAGCCAAAACAAUUUAGUUUGUGGGGGAAUAGGCUGUUUUCUCUCAAAACGCAGUCGUUUAAAUCGAUGAUGUGGCAUCCUAGUCAGUUGUUUGUUAACGGAACAAUAACGGCGUUUAACGAUUUGUGGGUUUAGUCCGGAUUUAUUUUGUUCAUGUAGGAAAUUCAAACUCUAUAUUAGUUCAUGUGGGUUUAAGCACAAGACAAAGUUUCAAGGAUUUUCCUUUCACUUGAUGAUCAGAAAUAUAUAAGAUUUAUAUAUAAAAUAGUUUCCCUUCACUUGAUGCUCAGAAAUAUAUAAUAUUUAUAUAUAAAAUAGUAAAAUUAUAAUUUAUGCAUGUAAUUAGCUAUAUAUAUCGGGGAAGAGCAGAUAUCUCCAAAUGGAAAUUGUAGGUAUUUGUGAUUUGCUUCGUUUUUGAUGAAUAUCAAUUUUUAGUACUUGAUUUGCUUUGUAAAAUGACGAAUAUCCGGAUUUUACGAUUCGAAUAACGAAUUAAAUGGAAUCUAGAUGUAUAAAUUGUCCAUCCUUAAUAAAUACUAUUAUUAUGCAUGAAAAACGAUUGUGUCAAUUUGGUACUUGAAUAAUAUUAAAGAUUUUUUUUUAUGAGCAAAGAAUAAUAAUAAAGAUAAUUAUUUACACUUCUCAAGAAAAGACAAAAAGUUUCGUACAGAUGAUGAUGGGCCAAUAUCUUAUAUUACAGAUUAAAAAAAAGCAAAGAACAAAAAAUAAUAGGCCCAAGUCUUUAGGUCCACCACUUUAGUAGUCGUAGCCGACAUAUAAAACAUGGAAACAAAAGAGAAACCCUAAAUUCUUCUCGAGAGCCGACUUUUUCUAGAUCUAAGUCCGCGUCGCCGCAAAAAAAUGAGAUUUGAUGAUGCUGGAGUUCCCCAAGUCCGCGUAAAUAUGAGGCUUCUCACUCCCUUUCAAGUUAUCCAGCAGAUCGUGGCCGACGUUGAGGAUGUGUUUGUCGAUUUAGAUCUUGACCAUGAUGGGAGAUUGGAUGUAGAAGAUACGUUCAAGGCCAUUUUUGGGCUACGAUACUCGUUCAAUGGGGAGCAGGCUUCCCAGCUGAUAGCAGAGAUGGAUGAAGACGGCGACGGUUUUGUGACGCUGAAGGAAUUGAAGCGGAGGUUUUCACCGCCCUAUGGGUCAUCGGCUAUAUGGUCGGCAUUUGUUCAUGCAAGGUCAAACAACAAUGAGGAGCUUUCUUUGUCUGAGCUCCACAAGGCUCUUAAUUUAAAAUCUUUUAUAUAUAUAUAUAUAAACUUUUCAGCAUAAAAUAUAAUCAUUAAAAUUUAAAAGAUAAAUAUUUGAGAAUAAAUAUAAUAGGCGAUAUAUAACAUAUAUACCGCCGACGAUAAUAUUUCCUUAACAGAUAAAUGGUUUGAUAUAUAUCACGUGGUAACAAAAAUCACUUAAGAAAUUCACGAGAAGAAUAAACGGCAUCGAGGACCAUCUAAUGAUCAUUUAUCUUAUCUUUAAAAGAGUGUUUUUUUUUUGCCAAUAAAAAAGAGUUUUUUUUCUUAUUCAUAUUCCAUGAAGACAUUUCUUUAAAAUUUUUGACGUUAAUUAUCGAUUGUUGUCCUAAUUGUAGAUAUUAUUUAUGAUUAAAUGUUGAUCGAACAUAACAUCAUUCCAUAUAAAAUGUGAAUAUACCGAGUUUCAUGAACAUUAUUUAGUCUAAAGAUACAUCUAUAAUACCAUGUUGAUAGAACAACUUUAGCGAAUUUGUUUUACCCAUCAAAGCAAGUGCAGCGAGCAAUAAGAUAAUUCUCGAUUAAGUCUCAACGUGUCUAUCUUAUCUCACUUUCCAUGAUUAUAUGGUCAAACGAUAAAGCCCAACUUUGAAUAUAAUAAUCUGUUUAAUAAUGUAUGUCAUGUAUUUCUCUAACAACUCAUUCGUUUCACACAAUGAAUGAGAUCUCAAGGAUUUUACCUUAGUCAUGUGCAUUAUCUUUCUAAGUUUUAGAAAUUUACUUUCACACAGUUUUUUCACUACCAAUUUGUUCGUCAUCUAAUAUGACAAACUCGUUGCCUCUCGACAUCUAUUUUUUUUUUCACCUUCUAUUAAUUUAUAAUAUAUAUUGUAGUGUGAAUUGAUUUUCAAGAAAUAUCAUAACUAUUUUCUCCUCAAUUUUUUGGGUUAAAAGCAUUUCAUUCAAUUGAUGAAAUAACAAACUUCUUUUUCUUUUUGAUCAUGUUAUAAAGUUGUAGUUUCACUUAAGAAUAUGCUACACAAAUUACAUAUCAUUUUCUUUUUUACGGCUUACAUAUCAUUGUUUAUAUAUUUUGUUGUAGAAAUCAUGAAUAAUGUGAUCAUUGAUUAUUUAUUCUUAUAAAGAUGGAUGAUAAUGUUUUAAUUUUCUUAAGAUUUUUUAUGUAAUUUCACAAGAUAAAGUGUGACUCUUACAAUAUUUUUGUCUUAAAUUAUAAAUUUAAAUUGAAUUUAAUAAAUUUUUUUAAAGUAAAAAUUUAAUAAGAAAUUACAAUAUGUAGUCAACUGUUCUUAAAAACUAAAUUUUUGCUUUAAAUUUUUUAUUUUCUUGUUUAAAAUCUUACAUAUAGAAUUACAUAAACUUAGUUUUAUUCUACUAUGUAUUUAAAUUUACUUCCAUUCUAAAACUCAUUAACAAAUUUAAAAAUUUGAAGUAUGACCAUUUUUUAAUUUUUAUCUGUUAAAAGUUAAAUUAUAUUAUUACUACUAAUAAAAUUUUUAUUGUAUUCUUUUUAUUAUUUUAUAUUUUACAUAAACUAUGUAUUUAAAUUUACUUUGAUUCUAAAACUCAUUAACAUAUUUAAAAAUUUGAAGUAUGACCAUUUUUAAUUUUUAUCUGUUAAAAGUUGAGUUAUAUUAUUACUACUAAUAAAAUUUUUAUUGUAUUCUUUUUAUUAUUUUAUAUUUUACAUAAUUCGUUUUUUAUUAAUUAUUUUUUUAUUAAUUAUAAGUAACAUAAAUAGGCACCAAAUUAAUGUUUUAAAUUUAUUUUAAUGUAAAAUAAAUAGAGUUGCUUAUGUGGAUGAUAAUGUGGAUAGUCUAAAUGGAGAGAGGACUCUCCCAUUAUAUAUAUAGAUUAUAGUUACAGUAUUAUUGUAAAAAGUAUGUAUGUGGAGAGAUACAUAUUUGCUACAAUAUACUAUAGGUUAAGGCCUUAAGGGUAGGUUUAAUGUGGCAAUUAUGUACGUUUGACAAUCUUGUGAGUAAUAAGAAGAUUCCGACAAAUUACUUUAUUCUUCUUUGUCGUCACACAUUUGUAAGUUGUAACAUAUAUAUUUAUUGUGAUCUUUGCCACAUAUCUGAAUCAUAAUUAUUUGAAAUUUUUCUUUUGUUCUGUCUCUAUAUUAAUCAGAAUUCGUCAUAUAAAAAAAUAUUAAACUUAUUUAAUUAUUAAAUCUAUUCUCUAACCACUCUUUUAUAAACCCAAACCGAUAUAUAAUCUCGUUUAUUUACAAAAUCUAAACCCUAAUUUUCCUUUGUAAACCCAAAUCGCCAUUUAAACUCGUUUAAUCGUGUGGCGGUUUUGCGGUCAACAUUGGGCUUUGCUCAGCACCUCUAGCUGAGUUAUGGGGGGUCUACUAUGGCUUAUUUAUAGCUUAGGAGAGAGGAGCUAGACGGAUCGAGCUGGAGGUGGAUUCGGAGAUAGUUGUUGGAUUUCUUAAGAAAAGGAUUGAUGAUACUCAUCCGCUGUCAUUCCUAGUACGUUUAUGCUAUGGCUUCAUCACGAAGGACUGGAUUGUCCGUAUUUCGCAUGUGUAUAGGGAGGCUAAUCGUCUUGUAGAUGGAUUAGCUAACUAUGCGUUCUCUUUACCGUUGGGAUUCCAUAUGUUGGAAUUUGCACCAGAGAGUGUUAGUUCGAUUUUGUUUGAGGAUUCUAUAUGACUAUCGCAUCCGCGAAAUGUCCGUUUGUAGUUUGUAUUUUCUUUUUUAAUAAUAUGGGAGGCCAUGCCUCCCUCUUCCUUACCAAAAAAAAACUCGUUUAACCGUAAAAAAUCUAAACCCUAAUCGUACUUUCUAAACCCAAACCGACAUUUAACCUCGUUCAAUUGUAAAAUUUAAAUCCGUUUAUAAACCCAAACCGAUAUUUAACCUCGUUUAAUAAUAAAAUCUAAACUCUAAUCGUACUUUCUAAACCCAAACCAACAUUUAACCUCGUUCAAUUUUAAAAUUUAAAAUCCGUUUAUAAACUCAAACCGAUAUUUAACCUUUUUUUAAUCAUAAAUAUAAACUCUAAUCGUACUUUCUAGAUCCAAACCGAUACUCAACCUCGUUUAAUCAUAAAAUCUAAACUCUAAUCGUACUUUCUAAAUCCAAACCGAUAUUUAACCUCAUUUAAUUGUAUAAACUAAAUCCGUUUAUAAACCCAAACCGAUGUUUAAUCUUGUUUAAUCAUAAAAUCUAAACCCUAACCCUUUCUAAUAAACCCAAACCGAUACAUAAUUUCGUUUUAGUGGCAAAUUAGGUUUUAUAAUUAAAUGAAUUUUUUAUUAUUAUUAUUAGGUGACAGAUUCUGAUUGGUUGAAGUAAACAGGGGUGAAUAUAGGGGUGAACCCAAGUAUUUUUCGGAAAACAUACAGCCUUGACGAAAUGACCAUACAAGACUCCAAGUAUUAGUAAUAGACCUUCCAAUAUAAACAAAGGAUCCUCAAAUACAUGAUCAAAUUAAUGUUUUCACCACAAAAAGCAUCAAAAAUUAAAUGAUACUAAUUAAACUUUUUUAUUUAUAAACGAUAGAAAAAUUUAAAUUUAACAUUCAAUUUCAGUAAUUUAUGCUAUUAUUGAUAAAUCUGCAUGAGUUCAUUAAAAUUGAUGCAAAUCUAUAUCCAUUUGCAUCAUUUUCACAAAAUUGAUAAAAAAAUAUAUGAAUUUCAUCAUUUUUAAAAUAAUAAAAAAUUUAAAUCAAUAUCAACCGAUGCUAAUUAUAUAUUAAAAAUCGGUUGUAAACACUGAAGUAAAGGGAAUGCAUCAACAAAGUGCGUACAUACUUGGCUAGAAAACUUGUCAAAAAAAUGAAAAAGACCUUGAAAUUUAAAUUUUACCUUUUAAGAGUUUAUUAACUUAUCUUUUGACAAAUUAUAAAAAGAAUAUAUGUUAAAGUUAAAAGUAUUUCAAAAAGAAUUCGAACUUUAAAGUUUUUAAAAAGGUUUUAUUUUCUGUUAUUUCGUUCUAUAAAAAUAUUCAAAUAUAUUCAAGAAUUACUUGUGUCAUAUAUCAAAUAAAAUUUUAAUUUUUUGUUAAUUUUCUCAUUCCUAGAUGUUCAAACAAUCUAACAAUGCUAAUCCUUAGGCCUUAGACAGACUCAUCUACUUAAUUCUAUGGCAAUAAGUAUAUGAUAAUUAUACAUAAUUAACAUAAACCUGCAUUUGUAAACAUGUGAUAAGCAUGUAUUAAUUACAAGCCUUACAUACCCACUAAACACCUUAAUGAUCUAUUCUCGACUUCUCGUAGGCUUUCCCACCAAAUUAUAAUGACUGUAUUCAUGUCUAGGAUUUUCAAACCACACUUCCACUCCUAAAUGAUUCUCAUAAACAGAGUCCAAACAUAGUUGUUCAUAAUAAUUUAGAUGAACGUGAAAGUGUUGGGGUUGUAUUCAGUCCUUUUAACCCAAGUAUCUUGGGACUUGCCUCCUUAGAAUUUUUUUAUCCGAAGGAAAUCUUCGGGCGUUGUCUCAUUCAUUGAUGACACUGAUGACCCUGUAGCAUAUAAAAGGUUCAGGCCGACCAGAUUGUCAAAACUGUCUUUUUUUUUAUGGUCAAUCUCUAAUAAUCAAGUUUAUGUGCUAGUAUCGAGCAAGAUUUGAUUAGAUCUCCUUUAAUUCUAUUACAACUAGAUUUCUAUAACAAAACCAACUCAAUUUAAAGAAAAACAUAGCUGCUCUCCAAGAUUGUGAUUAUCAUAUUUUUGCCCAAAAUUCUCUUGAUGAUUUUAACAACUCAUGUCUUAUAUUCUUACCAAUCCCUCUUGCUCUUUGUCAUUGUUCUCAUAUAAAUAAUAUAUUAAAUCAAAAUUCUAGAAACGAGUAACUCAAGUCCUCCCCUUAAACUUUUAAAAAUUUAAUAUAUGUAAUCGUAAAACAUUUUUAAUAUAUUUUAUGUUAUAUUUUGGUUAUUAAAGUAUAUUUUCUGGAAGUAAGUGUUAAAAUUGCAAAAAAAAUAACAAGUGGUUGAUUGUUUUUUAUGGAAAACAUUUUUAUUUUCUAUAAAUGAGUGAUUGAUUUGUUUAGUUCAAGGUUUUAUUUUUGUCGUGCAAAUUUCUCUUCAUAAAAUCUUUUUCUAUAUAUUUUUUUCAUAAAUUUUGUUUUAUACAAAACCUUCAAUAUUUCUAAAUUAUUAAAAUUUUGAAAAUAGAAUCUUCUAUCCCUUUUUCCCCAACGCUCUUUCAGUAAUCUCAGUCCCAAACACUCUGUACCGGUGAUUGAGAAGAUUUUUGGCUUCUGUGGCGAUGUGAAGAGUUAUUUUAUGUUUCGUAAAAAUUUGGCUUUUUUGGAAUAUUCUAGUGAAGAAGAAGCUCUAGCUGCUAGGGUUUAUGAUAGCAUUCGAUCUUAUGAUAGAUUUCUGAGAGUGGAGAUUGCCAAAUAUCCUCCUCGGAAACCAUCAGAUCAUGCUGCAUUUGCUACUGUGGUCAAGCUUGGACGUGAAAGAGCUCAAGAGUUGAUUGUUGGAUUUAUGAAUCCAGAGACCAAGACCCGUUCAAGGAGUAGUAUGAUUGUAAAGAGAAAAUCUGGACCAGAGAAUUGAAGACAUGGACGAGAUAGAUCAGCUAGAAGUGUAAACCCCAUAAAGUGAAAAUAUGGACGAGAGAAUUCAAGACAUGGAAUUUUGCUUAAAUCUAUAUCCAUUUACAUCACUUUCACAAAAUUGAUAAAAAUAUAUGAAUUUCAUCAUUUUUAAAAUAAUACAAAAUUUAAAUCAAUAACAACCGAUGCUAAUUAAAUAUUAAUAAUCGGUUGUAAAAAGUGAAGUAAAGGGAAUGCAUCAACAAAGUUCGUACAUACUUGGUUAGAAAACUUGUCAAAAAAAUGAAAAGGAACUUGAAACUUAAAUUUUACCUUUUAAGAGUUUAUUAACUUAUCUUUUGACAAAUUAUAAACGAAUAUAUGUUAAAGUUAAAAGUAUUUCAAAAAGAAUUCGAACUUUAAAGUUUUUAAAAAAUCUAACAAUCUAACAAUGCUCAAACAAUCUAACAAUGCUAAUCUUUAUGCCUUAGACAGACUCAUCUACUUCUAUGACAAUAAGCAUAUGAUAAUUGUAUAUAAUUAACAUAAAAUUGCAUUUGUAAACAUGUGAUAAGCAUGUAUUAAUUACAAGCCUUACAUACCUACUAAACACCUUAAUGAUCUAUUCUCGACAUCUCGUAGGCUUUUCCACCAAAUUAUUAUGAUUAUAUUCAUGUCUGAGAUUUUCAAACCACACUUCUACUCCUAAAUGAUUCCCAUAAACAGAGUCCAAACAUAACUGUUCAUAAUAAUUUGGAUGAACGUGAAAGUGUUGGGGUUGUAUUCAGUCCUUUCAACCCAAGUAUCUUGGGACUUGCCUCCUUAGAUUUUUUUAUCCGAAGGAAAUCUUCGGGCAUUGUCUCAAUCAUUGUUGACACUGAUGACCCUGUAGCAUAUAAAAGGUUCCGACUGACCGAUUGUCAAAACUGUCUUUUUUUUUGUGGUCAAUCUCUAAUAAUCAAGUUUAUGUGCUAGUAUCGAGCAAGAUUUGAUUAGAUCUCCUUUAAUUCUAUUACAACUAGAUUUCUAUAACAAAACCAACUCAAUUUAAAGAAAAACAUAGCUGCUCUCCAAGAUUAUCAUAUUUUUGCCCAAAAUCCUCUUGAUGAUUUCAACAACUCAUGUCUUAUAUUCUUAUAAUCCCUCUUGCUCUUUGUCAUUGUUCUCAUAUCAAUAAUAUAUUAAAAAGAAAUUUUCAAAAAAGGGACAGUUUUUUACAUUUGUCUCACCAAUUGACAAAGUGGAGAAAGGGUUUCACGAUUUGACAUUUAGCCAGAUUUGUGACGAAAAUGCCCCUCAACUAGAGACGUUACUGUGCUGGUUCGGUUUCUCUGAUUUUGUUUUAUUUGGUUUGUUAAUAUUUUUGAAUUUAAAUUUUUUUAAAAAAAAGAAGAAGAACGGCGAAGAAAGCGAAGAGAAAGAGGACGAAAAAUCAGAGUACAAACCGUUUCCAUUCUGAAAAUCUAAUAUCUCAUUUUGAUUCUUUUACUUGGAAACGACCAAAAGGGGAAAAAUUCCGGCGAAUUCCGUUUCCAUUCAUCUUUAAAUCUCUCAUUAUCUUUCCGUUUUGCCGCUACAACCAAAAGCAAAGAAAUUUCCGACGAGUAAGAUAGCGGAGUACAGAUGACGGCGAAGAAAAUGAAUCUAUUGAAGAAGAAGACUCGGCGCCGCGCGAAGGUGGCGAAAAGUUCAGAGAAGGGUGAAGCGAAUAGUUCACCGGAGAAGGGAAUCGAGAUUCCGAGUCCCCCGCCGGAGCCCGAGAGCACAAGUCAGGGUAAGUAUCUGUAAACACCGAAAUCGAAUUUAAUUGGGGAUGGGGAUUCAGGAAUCCUAAAUAUGGGGAUACUGAUUUCGAAUCGAGGAUUUAAUUUCUGGGUUUUCAAACUAAAUCGAUUUUUGCGCCAAAAUAGAAAAUUGAGAAGAUUUAUGUUCUAAUCUGUGUACGUAGCCGAAAUUGGAGUUAUAAAUUUUUCUACUUUUAAGUGAUUUUGAAAAAAAUGCGUAUAUGGCCUACUAGGGUUUAUUCGUUAUAGUGUUCGUAUGUUAAAUUAGUUAUGGAUAUUAGAAACUGACAUAUUUCUAUUACACAUAACUUGCAGGAGGCAUGGAUCCGAUUGAAGAAGGUAAUAUUGGUGAAGGAUGUGAAGAGUUACCGCCGAGGCUUUUUGCUCUGGAUAAGUACCCUACUGAAACGAAGAUCAAUGCGUAUUCCAAACCGGAGUACCUUGCUGAUAUUGCAACAGCCCUUAAAGGAACUGAAGAAAUGGCUUUUCUCCUAACUUCUCCUUUUGGGGAGCUCUUUAAUAUCCCUCCUAACAUGGUAUCAUUUUCUGGCAAGCUAGUUCUUGGCUUGAUUUGCCGUCAGUUAGUGACCAAAAAACGUUAUGAGAUGUGGAUGGUUUUUGGUGGUCAUCCACUGCGGUUUGGAUUAAGAGAAUUUUAUCGGAUAACCGGUUUGGAGUGUGGGAAGUAUCCGAAAAAAAAGCUGUGGAGAAAGUGCUAACGGUGAAAAAGGGAUGUACUUCUGUGUGGAAGACUCUAUUUGGUGCUAAGUCUCCAAUUAUUGAUGAUUUGGUCGUGAGCUUGAAGACAGAGAAAAAAAUGCCAGGAUGGAAGAGACUAGCAUUAGCGCUGAUAAUCAUUGUUGAUGGUGUUCUAAUCUGUCAGAAGCAGCGAGUCCGACCCAAUUUCAAAGACAGUUGAGAUGACGAAAGACCUUGAUUUCUUCUGCAAAUACCCAUGGGGAAGGCUUGCUUUCAACCGUACACUGGACAGGAUAGCCAGAUUCAAAUCCGCUAAAAAGAUAGAAGAUGUGAUCAUUGGUUGCAAGCAGCAGUCUUAUAUGGUCUAUGGCUUCCCACUAGCGCUGCAGCUUUUUGCCUUCCAAACUAUCCCAUCUCUUCGUAAGCUAGUUCCUUCUUCCACAGAUGUAAACUUAUUCACUUAGAGGUCAAUCAAGAAUCUGGCCAAAAUGCAUCCAAUCCGGACUUCCAGUAUCUUGGAGUGCGAAGCUGCAGAUCAGGUGUGUACGCUUUCUAAUAUACGUACAUCGGAUGAUAAAAUAAUACGUACAUUCACUAAGACGUUAAAAACAAAAUCUUAUAGGUGGAUGUCACCUAUAUUGUGGAUCCAGAGGAUACUGAUUGUCCUGAAUCUUUAGUAUGGAAUAAGGAAGUUGAGGAUCCUAGAGUUGAUUACAUUUUGAGGAAGCUGAUAGAUGGGCACAAGUGGUCCGAAAACACAUGGGUUGGAGGUCAUGAUGAAUGUCCAAAGCAGCUGCGGCCAGAAGAGAAAGGUAAGCAUAAGUACAAACGAUUUUCUCAUUUAUGAAAAUACUCCUCUAAUAUAAAAACAUAAAUAAACUCAGUUGGUGCAGUCCGGAAGAGGCAACUACGGCAAAGAGCUCCGGUUGCUAAUAAAAAACAGAAAAUUGAUGUUGAAGCUGAAGAGAAUGACAACGCUGGGGAAAGUUUAGAAGAUGAGAGGUUUGAUAAGUAUGUUAUUGAACUGAGGCGGUGUAUGAGGAGGCAAGAAACACAAAGGAACAAUCUACAUAUGGAAUUAAAAGAGUUCAUCCGUGAGGAGAUUCGUGCUGCUCUAAAUCCAAAGGGCGAAACACAAGUACAACCUGAACCUUCCAAGGUAUCAAAGAGCCCUAUUAAAAAGGUGGACAAGCCAAUGGUAAAGAAAUCCAGAAAUGUUCAAAUUAGAACAAGAAGAUCUCCUCGGCUGAAGAAUAUGAAUACUUCAGAAUACAAUGUUGAUGAUGUACCUCCACCUUCUGAGAAGGUAUGUCGUGUACGUACAUUAUGUUUGCGAAGAUAAUGUACGUACAUACAUUAUGUUUGCGAUGAUAAUGUUAUUUAUGUUACAGGAUGAAGAGAAAACUGCCCCUGAAUCUGCUAGAAAAGAAGCAGAUAUGUCUGACAAUGAAAGUGUUGGACUUUAUUAUGGUGGACCUUCUGACGAGGUAUGUCAUGUACUAGAAAUAGUCACAGAGUGUAGUACUGUACGUACAUAAACUAUAAAUAUGUUUAUUUUCUUUAUUUCAGGACGAAGUCAUAUGUGAUGGUGGUGAAUAUGACAAAGGACCGCUAGAUUCAGCUACCAAACAACAAGAUAAGUCUAACACUGAAAUGGCAGACAUUUCUGAAGAUGAUAAGGACGUGUUGCCUGACGAGGAAACCAACACUGGAGAUGAUAAGGACGUGUUGCCUGAUGAGGAACACAAAACUGGAGAUGAUGAGGACGUCUUGCCUGAGGAUGAAACCAAAACUGGAGAUGAUCAGGACAUGUUGCAUCAGGAGGAAAGCAACGUUGGAGAUGAUGAAGAAUUGUUUAAUGCUCCUAGUUCCCCAAAACGUGGAGCUGACGAAUUGGAGGUAUGAUCAAGUCAAUGUUAAACUUUGAGUGGCAGAUAAUAAUGACCUAUCCCUUAACUAAUGAGUAAUGCACCAAUUGUAGGCUUCUCCGGCUGAUGAACCUACAAUUGCUGGUCAGAGGAAUGCUGGAGGGGCUAUUGGCGUUGAUGGCAACCUUAGUUCUACGCCUUCACUGUCUUUUGUAAUCGUAUACACUGUAAGUUACUUAUAUGUUAGUACAAUAAUUUCGUUCCUCAUUAGUGUAACAGAGUAACAAAGUAAAAAUUAUGUAUUCAUCAGGUACUAAAAGAGUUGGGAACCUCUGUUGAUGUAACUGCUGGUACCAAUGUCAUCGAGGUAACUGUGUUUAUUAAAUUAACUUAUAAUUUCUAUACACAUGAUGUACGUACAUAGGCGUUAUUGCGUACAUAUAACUGAUGGUUAUGUACGUUAUUUCGAUAAGGUUGAACCAAUGGUGAAAGCAGAUAUCAUUUUGGGAGGAGAUAACAACACUAUCGUUGAUGAGGCUAAAACAACCGCAUCUGCUUCUCAAAAUCUUGUAAGUCCAUAUAUGUUAUUUACAUAUCAUGCAAUGAUUUCAAUAUAAGCUUUCUAUUUGUUUGAUUUAGUAACUCAAUCUAUUUUUCAGGAGAAAACAAAAAAUGAUUUUGAUGUGGGAGUAAGUGAGUCUCAAAAACCUGAGGAUGUUGUCCCCGUAAAAGAGAAGAAACCUGUUAAACGAAGAGUUACUUUUGAGAAUAAAGAGGAUAUAACCGCCUCUACCAUGGAAAAUCAAGUAAGUUAUAGAGGCUGUUGUUAAUAAAUUAUAUACAUAUUCCUUUAACGUUUUAAAUAUGAAUGUAAAAUAAUUUGACAUUUUUUUUUGGUGUAGGAGGAACCCAAGAAGGAUGCAGGUGUGGAAGGAAGUGAUGGUCAAAUUCCUGAUGAUUCCAAGGAUGUCGAGAUAUUAAUUGAGACGAAAGAAUCAUCAUCAAACUCUGCGUUUUUGGUCAAGGCCGGAAAUGAACCAUACAACCCAUUAGAGAAGGUGAACGAUGCAAAAUUCCAGCUUUUAACUGAUAUCAUCAAUGGACCAGAUGUGUAAGAAUAUCUAACUUUAUUAAAUAUCAUAUACUCUUUCUUUUUACUUUAAAUGCAAAUCAUGUAUUUAACUAUAUUUUGUUUGCUCCGACGUUCAGGGUCCACACAGUUUUUGGAUUACGAAAACUAGAGAACCGGUUUUUCGCCACCCUUGCAGAACCUGGUGAAUGGGUUCAAUCUAAUGUACGUAUUGUUGGUAUACGUCUACAUUUGUUGAUAUACGUACACAUGAAUUGAUAUACGUACACGUUAUAUGCUCAUUAUACGGAUAUUAUAUUUUAUACGUACACAACAUCAUAGUCGUGUUUACAUUUUCAGCACUUGGAAAUGAUCGCCCUCAUGAUGUAGCACAAGAAUGGAGAACAUAUGAGGAAAACUCGGGCAAUUGUUUUGGAUUCAUUACUCACGUACGAUCUCUCACGGCGUGCAAAUGAAUUCAGUCGGUGUAAAAAAAAGGAGAGUUUCAAAUGGGGUGACCUGCUCUACGAAAUUGCAAAUGGUGAACGCAUUAACCGUCAACCUAUGCUCAAGUGGCUAAAGGACGUUGACGUCCUUUACGUCCCUUUGAACUGGUCACAAGAGCAUUGGGUUGGUCUCAGCAUCGAACUCAAGAUGCGGCAUGUCACUAUCUAUGACCCCCUCGUAAGUAAAACCCGGGAAAUUGUUGUGAAGACUCGGAUGCAGCCCAUCCUGGCUAUGAUGCCUUAUCUAGUGAAAGCGGUAUGCAAGGACUAUGUAGGUGAGAAGUACCCUCUCCACCCUUUCACAUACUUUCGGGUGGACUGCAUUUCUCAGAACCCUCGUACCGGAGACUGCGGUCCAUUCUCGAUGAAGUUUAUGGAGCUACUGAUGCUUGGACGCCCAAUGGAAGAGUUGCAGACCAUUGAAGAGGCUGAUAUGGACAACUAUCGUAAGGGGUACGCUGUGGACAUCUUCGAGCAUGGUGUAAGGUCUCUGACCUAAUGGCCGUGUAUCUGGUGUUAUUAAUAUCGUUUACAACUUCUGUUUUAUCUAGGGUUUUGUGUUUUUUGAACAACUUUUGCCUUUGCGUGUGGGCUAUGUUAUGUUUCAAGCACUCUAAACUUCUGCCUUGCGGUGUAGGCUAUUUUAUGUUUAUAGCACUCUAAACUUAUUUUAUGUAUUUUGAACGAAUCUCAUGUUUUAAUCUAAAUAUCCAAACAUAAUAUCUAAAAUUUCAGACGUACGUACAUAUGUAUGAAAAUGAAUUUCUGUGUACGUACAGACUAAACAUAUAUGUCUACCACAAAUGUAUAUAGUAUUGGAGUAAAAAUAGUAUUCAAAAUAGAUAAGGUUACAUAUAGUUAAUUGAUUUGACAUUGUUGACGUAUUGGAACUACACUUAUUGCUAAUCUCAUUGAAUACAACUAUUAUCUUCCCAACUAAAACUUUCACCUCGCCUAUUUAAGUGGAUAAGAUUGAUGGGGAGUUCCACACCUCAAUCCAAAACAUGUCAUAUCCAAAUCUACCUGACGAUGUCCUAGCCAAGAUUGCGAAGAUCAUGGCUCACAAAUGUUGGUGGUACCUACAGCCUCUCUUAAGAUCAGGCCCUCGUGGAAGGGACAUUGUAUACCGGCCCGAUGUACUCCAAGAUGCAAAUAUUUACAGUUUGUGCAGUGAUCCCGAUGACUUCCAUGCAGCUGGUCAUGAUCCAAAUGACAUCCACACCGAAGGUCGCUAUAGACCUUUCUUCAAAAGAUGUGUAGAUGCUGGAAAUCCAAUAGCUAUCUAUCAUGAAGGACUGCGUCUUCUAACACAUGAAUCUGACAUAAAGGGAGCUAUAGUUCUAUUACAUCGCAAUGUGCCUAAUCACGCUGAUGCAACACUUGCGUGUGCGAUCCUCUCCAUAUGUGACGGUAACGCGUACAUGGGCGCUGAGUAUCUUCUAAUGUUUGAGAGAAACCAUUACUCGUUGCAGUCAGAAGAAACUCGAGACAUGUGUGAGGAGUUGCUAGAUGAGAUUAAAAAAUAUGGCCUUACAUACAACAACACUUGGUGCAACAUUUUCUUACCCUGAUUUUCGUGGAUUUAACACUCCACCUUGCGCGAUGAUGUGUUACAUCAGGUCUGGUCCCUUUAAAAAUGUGUGUAACGUUUGCUAUUUAUGGUGGUGUGCUAGAAGAAUUAGCCAACUCCUUUAAGUUUAUCUUUGAUGUUUCAUGUUAUUAUCUAUAUGCUUGUGUGCUUAAAGUUUCAUAGCAAUAUAGUACUUGUUGUUAUAAAUGUUAAUGAUUUUACACUCUUUCACAAAUAUCUAAAAUAGUUGAAAAGGGUAUUAAUUUCAUUGUAUACUACAUAUGGAAUGUAUGAGGAUUAAAGAUUUCGUCAGAUAAAAGACAAAAAAUGUCAUAUUCAAUACGUCUUGUCACAGUUUAGCUUUAAAUGUACACUCUUAGAAGGUAGAUUAUUUGUAGCAAAUUUAUCAAUUAAUAAUCUACCCUUAUUGAUUUGACCCCUUUCGUGGAUAGUUAUUAAAUACAUUUUGUCUGACUUAUAUAAUGAACAUAUUUAAUAUUUCUGAAUGCUUCUAACAAGUAGUUCCUAAUAUAGACGUACACGGUGGAGCUAUAAAUGUACACUGUUAGAAGGAGAUAGACUCAAUCAAUAAAGCACUAAAUACGUACCUAUACUUUCGUCCUAAUUUCGAAAAAUGUAUCGUUAACCAGAGCUGAUGUGACUUCACAUUGAAGUAGUUCAACUUGUUGCCUUCACAUACUUUGUUAUAACCCUAUAAAUAACUACACCCUGAAGUCUCUUUACACACAAAUCGUUCAAACUCAAAACCGAUAUAAUAUUAAAAAAAAAUGCCUCUCCCAACUCCUCCUCCGACCAGAUGUAUAUUGCGGUCCUGCUCCCAAACCCUGUCAGUAUACUAGUAAACUACCUUCCUGUAUCUCAGACUCCAGUCGACACCCUUAGGAACAUGGUGUAUGCCGUUGACAUCAACUCCAUCUGUAUGGACGAGUUUAUGACUUGGCCGCAUUUCAUUCAGCCUGAUUCUCCUUUCCGACCGUAUUUCGACAUCUUGUUGGAGAGGGGAUCCUUGUGUGCGCAAUACCUUGAAGGAGUAAGGCUUUGUACCAACUUCCUGACCGUCGCUCAUGGUAUAACGUUGCUCACUUCGGUCUCCCCAUCCGACCCAUAUGCGUGCUUCGCACAUGCCUUGUUCUUAACAACGACGGGCAGCUACACUGAGUUCAUCCCGGUAAAUGCAAUGUUCUGGGAAAUGAUACAAAAUUUCGAGGCUGCAACCGCCGUGGGAGAGUUGGUGAUGUAUCACAUCAGUCAGCUUCAUCUUCAAGGCCCUCCGCUGUGGCAAAGAUCGUGGAGGUUUGUCAUCAGUCCGCCAUGUAUCGGACGCUGCACAUACGGACAUUGGUGCCGCAAUUGUUUUUUCUAUUGGUACGCUCGAGAACUAUGCAUUUUCUACUAGAUGUGCGAUGGCUAUAAAGGAAGAAGCAUGCAAUUUUCCCACUUAUGACUAUGCUUCCGCUAUCACCUUUACUUUAUUUCUUAUGAAUCUCUACCGUAAUAGUCUGUUUAUUUCUAUGCUUUGUAUUUCCCUUUCCAGGAGUCUUGCUAUGAAUGAAUGAAGUUAACCCUAGGUGUCUGUUUAUUUCUAUGCUUUGUAUUUUCUUUUUGAAGGACUCUUGUUAUGAAUGAAUGAAAUCUACUUUUAUGAAUUAAACAUAUAUGAAUAAUUACACGUUUUGUAGGUGUACGUAAUAUAUAUACGUACAUAGUAGAGAACACUAAUAUUAUCGUACACAUCCAGUAAAUGGAAACUCCGAAAAUGUUAUAAUAUGUACGUACAAUGCUGGAAUUAGUCAUUAUGAACGUAUACUUGUCAAGAAUUUUAUAUUGAUGGAACAAAAAUUAAAAAUAAAUUAGGCCAUAUAUUUUUAAGUUUGGGGAGAAUAACAAACUAGAAAACAACAAUAUUUGUUUGUUUUUAUAGCAACAAGAGAUUUUAGAAAUAAAAACUGUAGUUGUUUUUAGAAUACGAUAAAAAAACAAAGCAAGAAGCACGCCUGCAGACUAAUAAACCACCGUUUUGAUCUCUUGGACUUCCGGGAUGUCCGGAUCAGCAAACAACUUUGAUACAGGGCCAUGACUGACAAGCUUUGGGUUAUUUCUCCCGGUUACCCUCCAGCAAACGAGUGCUACCACAAUAUUGUGACGAGUAUAAUUGCGGAAGUAACUUUGGAAGUCCAAAGCUUGUUGAUUGUGGGCUUCACAUUCCAAAACUUAGUUGCUAAAGUAGAGGGAAAGAGAAACAUGAUCAGCAAAUUAAAGUAGUUUUAUUUGCAAAGGAUAGAGAUACGUACUAUCUAUCUUUGAUCUUGAAAGGAAGCUUCACACCGUAAAAGUCUUCGGUGAUUCCUCUAACCUCCAAAAGCGCACCAACCGCAUCUGGGGUAUAAACCAAGAUAUUAUGUAACUAUUGGAAAAAAAUUUUAAAAAAAAUUUAAAAAUACACAAGUCUAAGGUAAAACUACUCACCGACCAACACAUUUUUAUCAACCGUCUUCUAAAUAAUGUAGUCGAAUUGAGUGAAAUCAUAAAAAUUGAAUGCGUCCCUUCGCAAUGCGUUAGUAACAACGGUCCGAUCCAAAAACCAGAUCCCGUACUCGUGUGCUGUUGUUUUCACUGGGUCAGCAUUUUUACGUACAGAGAAAGAUGUGAUAAUUUUCCACUCAUUUUCUUUGAGUCGAUCCAAGUAAAAAGGAGCAAGACGACGGUCAAUGGUUGCCUCUAUGCGUGAGCGGGAACCCUGCAGAUUAUGAUGAAAAAGCAAAUAAGAUUUAAGCAAAUGGGUUGUAUGUUGGUAAAAAAUUAGGAGAGGUCGGGAUAUUACCGAUUCAUCUGCCAAGAUGAGUCCGAUUUCGAAAACGUUAGGAGCAACGAACUUCUUAAACACUCGGACGACAAAGACACAAAUUGUCCACCCAGUGAUCAUUGGACACAAUUCAGAAAUGGUAUGAUAUCCGUCCAUGAUGAUAACACGGAAUGUAACCACAAGGGGUGAUAGUUUGUGUUUGACAGAUAUAAAUGGAGAUUUGACUGGUGUUUUCUAGAGAUAGCAGGAACGUGGAAAACCAAGCAAAUAAAUUGGGGCUUAAAUAAUAAAAAUUUGGAAAGAAAUCAAUGGUUAGUUCGAAAGGGUGCAACGUUUGGAAAUAAAUUGGGGCUGACUUGUAUUGUAAAACGACGUCGUUUCACAACUUUGUCUAAAAGGUUUAAAAUGUAUAUAUGCAAAAUUGGGGUCUCGAACCCGUGUGCCUUCAUGACUCUUCCAGAACCUUAUACCAAUGGAUCCCACAACUUUCAUCGAACAUGUCCCAAUCAUUUUAAAUUAUAAACCUUUACAUUUGGGUUUUCAAAGUAAUCAAACGACGCCGUUUUCAAUUGGGGGAAAAAUAAGAAUUCUAGGGUUUUGAAUUGAGAAUCUGAUCUCUCAGUUCUUCUUCGUCUUCUCCGAAAUUAGAGUGAAGAUAGGGGAGAAAAUCGCAGAACAGAGAGCUACAGAGAAAUUGAAUCAGAAGUAAUCGUCAUUUCGCUAGCAGGUAACCAUGUCUUACUCGACCUUCGAUUUAAUGAAGAAAUGAGACUGAAUUGGUGAAAUUUGCUGGGUAGUUGUGAAAUGGGUGAUCGAUUAAGAGGGUUCCCUAAGAAGUGUCGGUGCGGAGAACCUAUAGUGAUGAAGACGUCAAACACUACUAGAAAUCCUGGCAGAUUGUUUCAUGCUUGUCCUUUUGGAGACAAUGUAAGUGGCUAAAUUCUGGGAAUUGUUGUCUAUAUGUGUUUUUGUGUCAUAUAAGAGAUGCAUUUAGCUUGGUAGGACAGGAUAAUAGGUAUCAUGUGUUCAAAUGGACGGAUUCUUGUAUGGUAGAAGAGAUACAAGACUUAAUAGAGAAAGUUGAUAACUUAGAAGGAACUUCGAUUACAAUGCAAAAAAGCUUCAAUGCGUGUGAAUCAGAGAUUGAGAAUGUGACGAUGGAGACGCGUGUCUGUGAGGCUGUGAUUGAAAAAGAAGUUGCAGAGUUGAAAAUUCAGUUUCGUAGCUUGUAGAAUAUCGUGGUGUUCGCUUUGGUGUUGAUUUUCUUUUUCAGGUUUAUAUUUUGAAUCUAUAUGUAUUUUCUUUUUCAUGAUGUGGGUUUGAACUAAAAUCAUGAUGUGUUUUGAAAUAUGAGAAUCUAUAUGUAUGAAUGAUGUUUGUGUUUGGGUUUCUGUAAUGAUCGAGAAGAAAAAGAGGAAAUGAGAAAUCGAUUUGAAAAAUACACUAAAAAAAUGUGCAGGUAUAAAAAUCAACGGUCCAGAAAUUACGGAUAUGGAAAUCCCUUUUCCCUUGUGUAACCGUCUAGAACCGUUUCAUUUAUAAGGUAUACGUACACGGGGAAGCUGAAAACGUACAAAGGCAUACGUACACCGAAAUAAACUUGGAUACACAAAAAAUACAUAAACGUACACUGCCCACACUUUGCCAAAAAAAAACAAACCUACAGAGCUAAAUUGGAUUUUUGCAAGUCUUCUUGUUAUGACCUUCUUGUCUACAUCUUGUGCAGAGAUUCGGAUUUAGUCUUUUCUGUCUUUUUUUCUGAACGUGAGAAACAACAAAAGUAAACAAGAAAAUCAUGUAUAUAGACAUAGCAUAGAUAUCGUCAAUAAGGUACAAGCAAAAAUGAUAUAACUUACCCGGUUUUCACCCCUAGAAGGUAUCCUUUUGCUGGUUGGUCUCCCGGGUGGUCGUCUACUGUGAGGAGGAAUAAGUAUAAUUUCUAAUAUAUUUUGAGGGAUGGCAACAUCCUUUGGAUCCGCGAUAGGUAGAAUUGGUUCUUGAAAAGAAUCAGAAAACGUUUGAAGGCUAUACCACCAGCCAACAACAAUCUUCGGAUUAAUCCCAAAUUCUAUUGCAGCUGCUAGACCGUGUUCACAUGGAAUUCUUAACUUCGUGUACCUAAGACACGUACACGUACACUCGUCGAGUACGACAUGGAAAUGCUCACCAGAAUUGCUUGUAACUUGAUAACUCCAGGGUCCAGACAUCUUCACUGCGAAUUUCCCGGACUCAGAUAAAUCUUGGAGAAAACGCUCAUCAACCUCAGGCGUCACUAAAGAUUUACAUUUAGCCACUUUUUUCCGCCUAGCUGCGAACCACCGCAUAAGGACCUCUCGAAUGAACUCUAUCAUGUAGACAAUCAGAUAUGUUUUUGCUUUGGUUAAGACGUUAUUCAUAGACUCUGAGUUGUUGCUAAACAUGAUAUUGUACCGUUCCCCUUUGCAGUGAGCUCUUGUCCAAUGCUCAAAUCCAAUUUCUUCCAAGUAAUUUGCGCAUCCAGCACUUCUGCCCCUUAACUCUGCAAAGUAUUUUUCAAAAUCCCUCACCCUAUAUGCUUUUGCGGCGCUGAAGUAUAAUCCCGAAACACCAUACUUACUAUAAUACGUGGAUAUAUUUCGCUCAAGGUGUACUACACAUGCUCCAUGAUGAGCUUUCGGGUACACAACACUGAGUCCUUUGUAAAUAGAAGAAUGCCUGUCCGAGACAAUCAUUAAAUCUUCACUGUCUGGAACAAUCUCAGAUAAUUUAUCAAAGAACCAAAUCCAUGAAGCAUCGGUCUCCCCAUCAACAAAACCAAAAGCUAUUGGAAAUAUUUGGAAGUUCCCGUCUUGGGCACAUGCUAUUAGGAGGACCCCUUUGUAACGACCUACUAGCUGUGUACCAUCUACGACAACUACUUUCCGCAUAUACUUAACUCCUUUUAUGGAUGCCCCGAGAGCUACAAAUACAUACUUAAAUCGCUGCUUACCAUCAGCUUCAGGGGUAGAGUGGAGGUGUGUUAUUGUCCCAGGAUUAGCUGCUUUAAGGAGAUACAAAUAAGUUGGUAAAAACCUGUAACUUUUGAUAUCAUCCCCUCUUACAUUUUCAAUUGCCACCUCUUUAACUCUCCAAGCUGUAGCAUAUGAAAUCCGAACAUUGAGAUCAUUUAAUAGCAACUGUGGUAAAUCAACAGCUCUCGGACCUCCUUGCGUAGAACUGUAUCUACUCUUCACUACCUCUCCGAGAAGUUUAUAGUUAGCAUGUUUAGCGUAACCCUUGCGAGUGUCGACGACACAUGUAUGGAUGGAAUUAUACCUUGUGAUUUUGAAACAUUCUGAAUUCUUGACAACCUUUGCAGACAAAUGCCACCGACAAUUUUCAUCCACACAAACCAUCUCCAAUCUUCUAGGAUCAGACCGAGUUUGCUUGUAGCAAAAGCAAACUUUGAGUGCAAGAUAAGACAUAGUUUGUUGUAUGACUUUCCUGUUCAUAAACACACUACCCACAUACAAUGUCUCACCAGUCGUACUAAUUUCAACUUCUGUAGAAUCACAUCUAACUUUGGCUAAAUCAUCAAAUACUGGAGCAGCAUCAUUAUCAAGAAUCUCCGGCUCUCCACUAUGUAAUAAAGAAAAUCCAUUAUACACUUCGUAAGCCUCAACCGAGGGUUGUAUACGGAGAUCAGUUUCAUUUAAGACACCAGUUUCUGAACCUCCGAUAUCCAAAUCCACACCAAUCUCUCCAUUGACUUCGUCUCUACCAUUAACAUCGGUAUCCGUAUACGUAACAAAUUCAUCUUCGCAUCCUGUGUCUUGUACACAUUCUCGAGUGUACGUACAUUGGAGCAAUCCAUGUUGACACGUCCGGGUUGAAUUCACAGUGGGCUGAGUGUCACCCAAAUUCGCACUUCCUUCUCAUGUACGUACACGUUUACUUGUGUUCGUACACUCUUCCAAUAGACGACUGAAUUUCCCUGCCAGUUCUACGGUCGGUGGAGUGUCACAGACGUCCUCCUCAACAUGGCCAACUCCAUAUUCUUCUACAAUCAAAUCAUUCCUCUUGUUGUAAUUGUAAUCUUCACUACUACCUUCACUGCCGUCUAUAGUAGGGUCGAGGGUACUUCCGGCACUAUAUCCACCACUGACAUCGUCAUCUAUUUCAAUGUUUUCGUCGCUGUCAUCCUCUGCAUCUUCAUUUGUUUUUUCAUCCUGUACGUCAGUUUGCUCAUCUACAUCCGCAUUAGUAGUGGCAUCUACAGUUGUACUGAACGACACAAACAAGUUGACACUUGGAUCCCCAACACGAAUCAGGAAGAAUGUAUCCAAGCUCAUUUGAUUGUCAAUGUAGACAGGAGGGCGUGUACGUUCUAUCAUAAUUGACAUAUUUCCCGGCAUCCAGUAACUAAUUAUUGGCUGUCAUUCAUUGUACUUCAAAUUGAAAACCUCACAUAAUGUACGUGCCAAAUCCGUGUACCUCAUGUUUUCUCUAACACGUACACACCGACCAUAGCUUCCUUUCUCAGGUUCAAAUUUCCAUUGUUCUUUUGUUAUUAUCCACUCACCAACCAUAAUAAAUACUGGAAUCUCCAUUAACAUCCUGCAUCAUAAAUUCAGGAGAACCCCAUUAAAUGCAACUGAGAACAACUUUUAUAACUCCAACUAAAAAAAGACUUUGCAACUACACACUUAGUGCACAUUGAAUCUCCUCAUUUAACAUUUAUUACAGAACAAAUAUAGAAUGAAGACAGGAAUAAAUGAUCAAUUUCCUGAAGUUUUGUAUCCAAAUCAAUUUUGUUUUCAUUGAAAGUGUAUGUAAUACCUAAAAUUUAUAUUUACAACUUCAUUACUUACCACGGUCACUGCUUUCUCGCCUGCAAACUUUGUUAAACAACAAGAUCAAAAUGGCGUCUAUCUCAUUUAUUCAUAGAUAUUGAGGGGAAGUUUAUGUUUUUUCUUAUUUCUCUUUACAAAAUCUAAACAGUGGACGUUAUUACGAUUUAAGAUGAUUAAAAUAAGAUGUAAUGAUGAGUUUGCAUUGAUUACAGUUGGAAUGAGUCAUGUUUCAACUUUUUCAGUAUUUAAAACAUUUGUGACAACGUAUUUUAUUUGUUUUAUUCUUUCGGUGUACACUGUACAUCCGACGGAAAUAUUAAAAAACUAAUCAACUGUAGCUAACGAGAUACUGUGUACGUAACCAACUCGCCUGACGAUUUCGUUCGCAGUCACUGUACACCGGUUCGGCUACAAGGGCAUUUUCGUCAGAAAUUGACAUAAUUGUCAAAUGGUGAAAGCUAAUCCCCACUUUGUCAAAACCUGAAAUAAAAACUUAAAAGUUGGGCCUGGCCCGUAAUUAACCCUAUAUUAAAUCAAAAUUCUAGCAACAAGUAACUCAAGUCCUCCCCUUAAACUUUUAAAAAUUUAAUAUCUGUGAUCGUAAAACAUUUUCAAUAUAUUUCAAUAUAUUUCUUAUUUUGGUUAUUAAAGUUUAUCUUUUGGGACUAAGCGUUAAAAUUGCAAAAAAAAUAACGAUUGGUUGAUCUGUUUUAUAGAAAAUAUUUUUAUUUUUUAUAAAUGAGUGAUUGAUUUGUUUAAUUCAAGGUUUUCUUUUUUUUUCCGUCAAAUUUCUCUUCAUAAAAUUAAAAAAUGUUUAUCCUUAUCUUUUUCUAUAUAUUUUCUUCUUAAAAUUUGUUUUAUACAAAACCUUCAAUAUUUCUAAACUAUUAAAAUUUUGAAAAUGGAAUCUUCUCCCCCUUUUUCCCCAACGCUCUCAUCGUCGUCAUAGAAAUCUGAAAUUCUAACAACAACAGUGAAGAAGAAAUCCUUCGCAACCAUUUCAAAUGCAAGAUCUCUUCGGAUCAGUUCGCCGGUCACUAGUUUUCCGUUCUACCACCGACGAUGACAACCAAGAGAAUCAUCCUCCUCCGUUUCCUACUCUCCUCGCCGAUAAAAUCACUUCGUGUAUCCGCAAAUCCAUGGUUUUCGCCAAACCUAAUUCACCACCACCUAACUCCACCGUACAGACGAAACCUCCGAUUCGGUGGCGGAAAGGUCAGUUAAUCGGCCGUGGUGCUUUUGGUACUGUGUAUAUGGGGAUGAAUCUUGAUUCCGGUGAGCUUCUAGCCGUUAAACAGGUUAGUUUGAGUUUGAAAUUGUUAUCUUCUUCUGGAAUUUUGAUUUACUCGUCUCGGAUUUUGAUUUUGAAAUUAGUGUCACUUUAAUGGUUCUUAUUGGUAAUUAAUGGAAUCUAUAAGCUUUAAUCACAGAUUUCUACUUUGUUUUCGGUUGUCACUGUCAUUGAUUAUGGUCAGAUUUUGGAAUUUAGGGUUUUAAGCUCUUAGACUUGUUUUUGAAUCUUUUUGUGGCUUUGAGUUGUUGUUGUGAUUUGAUUAUAUCAUGAGCUGAUUGUAGUUGUUUCUUUCUCAGGUUUUGAUUGCAUCUAAUUGUGCAUCCAAGGAAAAAACUCAGGUUCAUAAACAAGCCAAUCUGUUUCUUGUUGAUAUUGUGCUACAUUUUGGUUUUACGUUACAUGACUUUCUUAUUUUGGUGCAUAAAAGGCUCAUAUUCAGGAGCUUGAAGAGGAAGUGAAGCUACUCAAGAAUCUCUCCCAUCCAAAUAUAGUUGUAAGCAAUAACAUUAUUAUCUUCGUGCAAUGCUGAUAGAUCAAAGCAGGUUUCUGUUUUUUUUUCUAACUUUGGCAAUUUGUUUUGGCCUUAGAGGUAUUUGGGUACGGUGAGGGAAGAUGACACUUUGAAUAUUUUGCUUGAAUUUGUUCCUGGUGGAUCAAUAUCUUCACUUUUGGAGAAAUUUGGAUCCUUUCCUGAAUCUGUAAGUCUUCACUCCAUAAACCCCUAUUGGUUUCCUUAAAUGUUGAUGAUCGUAAUGUCUUUAAGCUGAUUGGCUCAGGUUGUUCGGACAUACACAAAGCAACUGCUUUUAGGCUUGGAGUACCUUCACAAUCAUGCGAUUAUGCACCGUGACAUUAAGGUAUCUAUUUUUGCACUUACUACGAAACUGUUUAAUAUUUCACAUAUCCUUGCCCUUCUCAUUCGAGGUUCUCAGGGUGCUAAUAUCCUUGUGGAUAAUCAAGGAUGCAUUAAACUUGCUGAUUUUGGUGCAUCCAAACAGGUAGCUGAGUUGGUAAGUCAAUUUUCAGUCUUCAACUUCUAUUAUAUUAAAACCAUUCUGCUCUGAGUUUUCUAGUCUUACUCAAGUUGUUCUUAUAACAUAUUCUUCAUCAUGAUUUCAUUCUAAUAGAAAUACAUUUAUCUCUAGGCUACUAUUUCGGGUGCCAAAUCUAUGAAAGGGACUCCCUAUUGGAUGGCUCCGGAAGUUAUUCUUCAAACUGGGCAUAGCUUGUAAGCAUUUCUUCAAACAUGCUUGUAAUUGCGAGGUUACAUGCUUUGUCGUCAAUUUCAUAUUACCUCUGGCUAUUCUAUGCAGUUCUGCUGAUAUUUGGAGUGUAGGAUGCACAGUUAUUGAAAUGGUAACUGGCAAAGCUCCUUGGAGCCAGCAGUAUAAAGAGGUACUUAAUUUUGUAAUUUUGUAUUCAAUGUUAUUCACAAAAUCUGGUUCUUGAACUUCUGUGGAUAUAUAUUUUUUCAGAUUGCUGCUAUUUUCCACAUUGGAACGACGAAGUCGCAUCCUCCAAUCCCUGACAAUCUCUCCUCUGAUGCGAAAGAUUUUUUGCUCAAGUGUCUGCAGCAGUACGCUACUUUUGACUCAAAUUGUAGAUUAGAAAUCGAAUUAACUUCUAUCACUUCUUUUGCUUGUUGUCUUGUGGAUUGCUGAAACAUCAGGUCCUGUCUUGGCAGGGAACCAAAUCUGCGGCCAACCGCUUCUGAGCUGCUAAAGGUGAAAUGGUCAACAGAGUUAAUGAAAUCCAAUCAGGUCACAUAUUUUAAUUCAUCGAGUCAUAAUGUUCUUGCUUUUCUUUUAUUGGCAGCAUCCAUUUGUUACGGGCAAACAGAAGGAAUCUGCUUCUAUAGAUCUUGCUUCAGUCAUGGUGAGUUCACAUUAUCCAAUCUAUAGACUAUCAUUUAGGUUUUUUCUUAAGGAAUUUUGAUAGGACAUCUCUUUGUGUACAUAUUCUCAGGACAAUUCAUGCAGUCCUUUACCAUCCGAGUUGACAAACAUUAAGAGCUAGUAAGUGCUGAGCUGAAGCCAAAAACUUUUAAGCUGAAUUUCUGACUGCUGAUCGUUUGUUUCUUUUUCUUACAGUCAAAUGUCUACAAGUGAAGAUGUAGGAGACAUCUGUAACUUGGGUAGUCUGACUUGUACACUUGCUUUCCCUGAGAAUUCAAUCCAAAAUAACAGUUUGUGUCUGAAAGGUAAUAACGGGUAUGAUGAGGAUGAUGAUGAUAAUGAUAUGUGUUUGUUUGACGAUGAGGAUUUCUUGACAUAUAAUGGAAAAACUUGCCCUAGUCUUGACAAUAAUACUGAUGCGAGGAAGGUAAGCUUGUGUGAGAUUAAACUUUCUCAUAUAUAUUUCAGAUAAUUUUCCGAAUAAUUAAAUCAAUUUCGGUUUCAUAUUAUUUCAACACAGAGCUGUGAUACCAUGAGUGAGAUCUCUGAUAUUUUGAAGUGCAAAUUUGACGAAAAUUCUGGAAAUGGAGAAACAGAGACGAAAAAUAGUAUGGAAGUUGACCAUCCAUCGUACUCAGAGGAUGAAAAUGAGCUGACCGAAUCAAAAAUCAAAGCUUUCUUAGAUGACAAGGUGACUCAUUGAUAAUGUUCUGUUUCCUCAGUGCAUUUAUAUCCACUCAGAGUUUGCAAACAUUGACUUGGUGGUAAUCUGUCUUAACCAUAGGCUGCAGAUUUAAAGAAGUUACAGACGCCUCUCUAUGAAGAAUUCUACAACGGUAUGAUCACAUGCUCUCCCAUCUGCAUGGAGAGUAACAUCAAUAACAAUAAACCAGAGGAGGCACCUCGUGGUUUCUUGAAACUGCCUCCAAAAAGUAGGUCUCCGAUUCAGGGCCAUAUUGGUCGUUCACCUUCUAGAAGAACAGAUGCAGCAUGUUGUUCCAAGAGCCCAGAAAGUGGUAGUAGCUCUGGUUUGCCGAAUAAUAGCAAUGCAAGUGCUGGUGCAGAACAAGAAUCAAACAGCCAGAGGUAAGUCCAACACCAGAUAUUGUUCUGCUUCAGAAUUAAAUUUUAACUAUAACGAUUUAGAUUCAUUUCCUUCAUUUAUUCGUUAACGUUAAUAGAAACCAAAACUGUAGUCCUGUGAUUGCAUGUCUUAAGAUAUGAUGACCCUCCAUUGCUAGCAAUUGGUUCAAUGGUGACAUUUACCAUGAGUUCUUAUCUCCUUUUCUUUAAACAUCUGGAAUUGUGUUGUUUUUGGCUUUGCAGUGUCGCGCUCUCAGAGAUAGAGAGGAAGUGGAAGGAAGAGCUUGAUCAAGAACUUGAAAGAAAGCGAAGAGGUAACUGCUUUUUUCAUGAAUUCUUCAUCAUUUUUGUGGUUUGCUCAUUUAUAGACCACACAUCAUACAUACUCAAACUCAAAUGUUGUUGCAGAGAUUACACGGCAAGCAGGGAUGGGAUUAUCCCCGAGAGAUAGAAGCUUGAGCCGACAUAGAGAGAAGUCAAGGUUUGCAUCUCCAGGCAAAUGAUCUAUACAAAAAUCCAGCCAAUUUUGCACUUUUGUCUCUAAGGCUCUUACUGCUUCUAAAGCUUUGCUUCUGAUCUUUCGAUUGCUCAUCUAGUAUAUAUGAUAUAGACAUAAAUGUGCCAACUAAAUAUAUAUAUAGAGAUAGCUGAAAUAUUUGAUUGAAGUACAGUGUGAUGAGAGAAUGUUGGUGCAUAUUGAGGGUUAAGCCAACCACAGAGCAAAUAUUUUCGAGAAAUUAUCGAAAGCUUUGUUUACUUUCGAAAGCUUAGUCUUCUCAGUGUCUUGUAUUUUCUUUUGUCACUCCAAAUCUUUUCUUCUGUGAAAGUACAAAUGCUUGCGGAAAGCGCAUAUCAUAUCUUUGGUCUUAAUUUGAAGUCCACGUUGUCUAUAAGAUUAGUUCUCAUUUCUUCUUGGAAAGUCUAUACAGCUUUCAAAGUGAUAGACUUUAAGUCUCAUUGGUGUUAUUCAAUGGUGGAGUUAAAGUCAAUUCUUUAAGGUUUGUAAAAUCUAGUGUUAUUCAAAACUAAAAGACUUGUAAAAUCUUUGUAUAUUAAGCCAUUUGAAAUGAAACUUCUUUGGAGUUUCAUGAGUAAAUUAUUAGAAUCCAAAUCCAAGAUAUAUUGUAGAGAUUUUGAAAUCCACACAAACAGAUUCUUAAAACCAAUAUCAGAAAGCAAAUCUAAACUUUAAAGAAUUGAUUUUAACUCCACCAUUGAAUAACACCCCCUUAGAAUAUAUUUAAUUUAGAGGAUAAAAUGACAAAAAAGUUGUUUCUGCUUACAUGCCAGCUCCAAAUUCACUUAUACUGAGAGGAGACCGAGGCUAGUUUGCCACUAAAUAGAAAAAAUGAAUCUGGCCUGCCAUUUUGUGAUCUGAGUGCCACUAUAAAUGUGAUAUCCCCAAAUUACCCUUAAUGAAAUGACAGACGAUCGGUACAACUAAGAGAUAAUAGUACAACUGGUACAGAUAGAUUAUAGGACAACUGAUACAAAUAGUAUAACUAAGAGAUAAUUGGACAACUGGUACAAAUGGUAUUACUGGAAGAUAAUUGUACAAUUGAAACAAUUGGUAUAACUGACAUAUAAAUAGAUACAACAAGGUACAACUGGUACAAAUAGUUAGGUAUAACUGGUACAAAUAGUUAGGUAAAACUGAAGCAAAACAAUUGUAAUUCUAAACCCUAGCGCCGUCACACUCACUAAUUCGUCUCUUCUUGCUUUGUUCACCGUCAUCGUUGCCGAUUAUCUGCCGUCACACUUCCGUGAACCGUUUUUUCUUGAUUUGUGAACCGUUUUUUCUUACCCGUGCAUUACAAAGCCGAUUUUGGAGAGAUCUAGAUCUAGAUUGUUGUUGGAUAUCUGAUUUGGGAAUCUGAGCAUAAACUAUGAUGAUGGAAACGAAGUCAAGGACAAAGAUCGAUCAAAAGAACGAAGAGAGAGAAGAGAGAUCCAUGAAAAAGAAGAGAUCUAUCAUUUAUGAUGAUGGAGAAGAAGAGAUCUGGGAUCAAAGAUUAAAAAAAUCCAGCAAAAUAGAUCUAGGGCGUUGAUGAUGGUGGAGAAGAAGAGGAGAAGAAGAGAAGAAGAAGAAGAGGAUAAGAAGAAGCGUGAAAAUUAUGUGGAGAAGAUAUGGAUUAGCAAAAGAAAUGGCAAGGGUACGUAAUUUGUGGUUUAGGUUAAGGGUUUUUGGACUUUUACCAUAUAUUUUGAUUUAAAAGAAAAUGAAAAAUAAAAUUAAAAAAUAGGGGUGGCAAAUACGAUUAGU